CCUCGUGGACUUCGUGGCCGAGUGGACUUAUGCUCCCGACCACGGAGUAGGCAAGGACUGCUCCCUCUUGCCAGGAGAUGAAGAGCCGGACGGAUGGAUCAUGUACUUCGACGGGGCGUUUGCGCGACAAGGCGCAGGAGCGGGGGCCAUCCUCAUCUCACCCACCAAGGACAAGCUCUGUUACGCAGUGCAACUCUGCUUUCAGUAGGGCGAGAAGGUCUCCAACAACAUCACAUAAUUUGAAGGCUUGCUCGCCGAACUCAGGGACGCUGCCGCGCUAGGAGUGAAGCGCCUCACCAUCAAGGGAGAUUCUUAGCUUCUCGUCAACUUCUCCAACAAGGAGUACACGCCUAAGGACGAGCACAUGGAGGCGUACCUAGAGGAGGUACGCAAGAUGGAGAAGCGGUUCAUGGGCGUGGAGCUGCAACACGUGCCGCAUGGGAUGAACAAGGAAGCAGACGACAUCUCCAAAAGAGCCUCUCGCAGGCUCCCUCAGGAGCCGGGGGUGUUUGAGGAGCGGCUCUUCAAGCCGUCUGUGACACCACACGUCGCGACUCCAGCACCACCUCCGGAGGACUUGCCACAUGCACCUGAGAUAGGGGCCCCAGCCUGUGGUCACCCCUCGGGAGCCUUCCUGCUGCUCGCGCUCAAGCCUAGAGGAGGGGUGCUGGACCGAUGAGUUCAAGGCAUACUUGCUUCAAGGGACCCUGCCAGAGAAGGAGGAGGACGCGAGCAUGUGGCCUGUCAAGCCAUCGCAUACUGCAUCAAGGAUGGUGAGUUAUAUCGCAGGAGGCCCACUGACGUUUCAUUGCAGUGCAUCUCCAGGGGACAGGGGCUCGAGCUGCUAGCGGACAUACAUGGUGGGGACUGCGAGCAUCACUCCUCGCCGCGCACUCUGGUGGGAAAGGCAUUCCGCAGCGGCUUCCACUGGCCCACCACACUCAACGACGCUACAGAGCUGGUGCGCUCUUGUAAAGCAUGCCAGUUUCACUCCAAGCAGAUCCACCAGCCCGCGCAGGGCCUCCAGACGAUCCCGCUCACGUGGCCGUUCGUGGUCUGGGGAUGGACAUCUUGGGACCGUUCCCUCGGGUGCGAGGGGGCUACCGAUACCUCUACGCCACCAAGUGUGCGGUGGUAGAGGCCGUGCGCACCAUCCCAGCUGGAUCGGCCGUCAAGUUCAUCAAGGGAACCGUGAGCCGGUUUGGGGCCCCCCAAUCGCAUCAUUACUGACAACGGCUCGCAGUUCACCUGCAACCUUUUCAAAACAUACCGUGCUAACCUUGGAACGCAGAUCUGCUAUGCCUCAGUAGCGCACCCGCGGAGCAAUGGACAGGCUGAGAGGGCCAAUGCGGAAGUCCUGAGGGGCCUCAAGACCCGGACCUUCAAGAAGAAACUCGAGGCCUACGGCAGGGGCUAGCUCGACGAGCUGCAGUCCGUGAUGCGGUGCAUCCGCACCACUGCGACCAAGCCAAUAGGAGAAAUGCCAUUCUUCCUCGUCUACGGAGCAGAAGCGGUUCUCCCUCAUGAGUUCAAGCAUCACUCCACGCGGGUCCUGGCGUUCGAUGAGAUGCAGCAGGACGCCACACGGGGGAUGGACCUCGUGCUGGAGGAGGAACGCCGCCGUCAAGCCUCACUCUGGGCAGCGAGGUACCAGCAGGCGCUGUGGCAGUACCACUGCCGCAGCAUCCGCUCCAGGACAUUAGAGGUGGGCGACCUCGUCCUGAGGCGGGUGCUCUCUAGGGAGGGGCUGCACAAGCUCUCGCCCACGUGGGAGGGCCCGUUUAGGAUUUCCCGUAUCUCCAGGGCUGGCGUUGCGCGCCCGGAGACACAGGACGGGGUCCCCAUCCAGAAUGCCUGGAACAUCCAGCACCACUGGAAGUUUUACCCCUGAAGAAAGGCUCCGACCUGUGAAGCAAGGCUCCGACCUGUGAAGGUCUCCGCUCGUGACACUCUCACGUAAUAAUGAGUGGGGAUGUACACGCCCCGGAGUCUCCUGAGAGCCGCCCUGGGGCCUCAUGGGGGCUCCCUCCCACGUCCUAGUGGCAACACUUAGUGAUGACCCACAAGUGUAGGGGAUCUAUCAUAGUCCUUUCGAUAAGUAAGAGUGUCGAACCCAACGAGGAGCAGAAGGAAAUGACAAGCGGUUUUCAGUAAGGUUUUCUCUGCAAGCACUGAAAUAAUAGGUGAUAGAUAGUUUUGUGAUAAGAUAAAUAGUAACGGGUAACAUGUAAAUAAAGUAAACAAAGUGCAGCAAGGUGGCCCAAUCCUUUAUGUAGCAAAGGAUAAGCCUGGACAAAUUCUAAUAAUGGUAAAGGAGCUCCCGAGGACACAUUGGGAAUUAUCGUCAAACUAGUUUUCAUCACGUUCAUAUGAUUCGCGUUCGGUACUUUGAUAAUUUGAUAUGUGGGUGGACCGGUACUUGGGUACUGCCCUAAAUUGUACAAGCAUCCCACUUAUGAUUAACCCCUAUUGCAAGCAUCCGCAACUACAAAAGAAGGUAUUAAGGUAAACCUAACCACAACAUUAAGCAUAUGGAUCCAUAUCAACCCCUAAUGAAGCAACGCAUAAACUAGGGUUUAAGCUUCUGUCACUCUAGCAACCCAUCAUCUACUUAUUACUUCCCCAUGCCUCCCUCUAGGCCCAAAUAAUGGUGAAGUGUCAUGUAGUCGACGUUCACAUAACACCACUAGAGGAAAGACAACAUACAUCUCAUCAAAAUAUCAAACGAAUACCAAAUUCACAUGACUACUAAUAGCAAGACUUCACCCAUGUCCCUAGGAACAAACGUAACUACUCACAAAGCAUAUUCAUGUUCAUAAUCAUAGGAUUAAUAAUAUGCAUAAAGGAUCUGAACAUAUGAUCUCCCACCAAGUAAACCAAUUAGCAUCAACUACAAGGAGUAAUCAACACUACUAGCAACCCACAGGUACCAAUUUGUGGUUUUGAUACAAGAUUGGAUACAAGAGAUGAACUAGGGUUUUGAGAGGAGAUGGUGCUGGUGAAGAAUUUGAUGGAGAUUUACCCCCUCUCGAUGAGAGGAUCGUUGGUGAUGACGUUGGUGAUGAUUUCCCCCUCCCGGAGGGAAGUGUCCCCGGCAGAACAGCUCCGCCAGAGCCCUAGAUUGAUUCCGCCAAGGUUCCGCCUCGUGGCAGCGGAGUUUCGUCCCGUAAGCUUGCCCACUAUUUUUUCUAGGGUAAAAGUGAUGAUAUAGCAGAAGAUGGACGCCGGAGGCCCACCAGGGGGCCCAGGAGAUAGGAGGCUGCGCCCUACAGGGGGGCGCGCCCCCUGUCUCCUGGACAGGGUGUGGGCCCCCUGGCCUAUUUCUUUUGCCCAUAAAUUCUUAUUAAAUCCAAAAAGUUGUCUCGUGGAGUUUCAGGACUUUUGGAGUUGUGCAGAAUAGGUUUCCAACGUUUGCUCUUUUUCUAGCCAGAAUUCCAGCUGCCGGCAUUCCCCCUCUUCAUGGUAAACCUUGUAAAAUAAGAGAGAAUAGCCAUAAGUAUUGAGAUAUAAUGUGUAAUAACAGCCCAUAAUGCAAUAAAUAUUGAUAUAAAAGCAUGGUGCAAAAUGGAUGUAUCAAAUCCCCCAAGCUUAGACCUCGCUUGUCCUCAAGCGGAAGCCGAAAUCGAAAAUAUGUCCACAUGUUUAGAGAUAGAGGUGUCGAUAAAAAUAAAAUACAGACAUGAGAGCAUCAUGAUCAUUCUAAUAACAGCAACAUAUAUAGAUUUUGUCACAUGAUUUCCUAUGCUCAAGUAAUAAGCAAUUCACAAUGUCAAGUAUGGUUCAAAAACUUCAUUGGGAACUAACAAACUAUAAUCUCAGUCAUUGAAGCAAUUGCAAUUUAUCGUAACUUCAGAGAGAGUCAAUAAUAGAGUUUUUCAACAAGCUCACAUACUCAACUAUCUCGUAGUCUCCCAUAAUUGUUAACACUCACGAAAUACUUGUGGUUAUAGAGUAUCAGCCGAACACUAAGAAAGAUAGGGGCUUCUUGUGUUGCCUCCCAAUGUAUUCACCUUUAGGUGAUGUCAACAAUAAUAGCCUAUGCCAACUUACAUCCAAUUGGAUAUAUGUAUCAUGAUCUUUCAAACACGAAGAGCUUGCCAAAGGAUAAAGUAAAAAAGGGAAAGGUGAUGAUCACCUUGACUCAAACAUAAAGUAAAACAUAAAGUAAAAGAUAGGCCCUUCGCAGAGGGAAGCAGAGAUUGUCAUGCGCGUUUAGGGUUGAUGCAUAAAAUCUUAGUGCAAAAGAACGUCACGUUAUAUUGCCCCUUGUAUGUGGACCUUUAUUAUGCAGUCUGUCGCUUUUAUUACUUUCACAACAAGUUCGUACAAAGCUUAUUUUCUCCGCACUAAUAAGUCAUACAUAUUUAGAGAGCAAUUUUUAUUGCUUGCACCGAUGACAACUUACUUGAAGGAUCUUACUCAAUCCAAAGGUAGGUAUGGUGGACUCUCAUGGCAAAACUGGGUUUAAGGAUAUUUGGAAGCACAAGUAGUAUCUCUACUUGGUGCAAGGAAUUUUGGCUAGCAUGAGGGGGAAAGGCAAGCUCAACAUGUUUGGAAGGUCAAUGAUAAUAUACAUUAACUGAGAUGUCGGAAAACAUAAACCAUUACAUUGUCUUCCUUGUCCAACAUCAACUCUUUUAGCAUGUCAUACUUAAUGAGUGCUUCACAAUCAUAAAAGAUGUCCAAGAUAAUAUAUUUAUAUGUGAACCCCUCUUUCCUUAUCACUUCCUAUUAAUUGCAACGAUGACCAAGUCUACAUUCAUCAACUCUCAACAAUUUUUAUGCCUCAUACUUUCUGUGUGUGAAGUUAUCACUAUCCAUAAGAUCAAUAUGAACUCUUUUGUUCUUUCUACUUUCUCAAGAUCAUAGCAGCAUAGCAAAGCCCUUGACUCAACACUAAUCUUUAUUAUAGAUAGCACACGGACUCGAUUACAUAAAGAGAUCAAAAUGCAAAACUCAAAACUACCUGAUAUCAAAACUUUAAACUACUAGAUCAAGAUACUACUAAAAGGAUCGAACUAAAUAAAGCGGUAAAGAUAGGAGUGUGAUGGUGAUACGAUACCGGGGCACCUCCCCCAAGCUUGGCCGUUGCCAAGGGGAGUGCCCAUACCCAUGUGAUUACUUCCUCGGAGGUGAUGGAGGUGGUGAUGAUGAUGGUGGAUAAUCGCACAUCAAGUGUAAAAGCUCCUCCAACUUGCGGAUGAUGCCCUUGAGCCCAGCAAUAUGAUCCUUCAACAAAAUAUUCUCCUGUGUGAGAUACUUGUUCUGUAUGCGAGCUAACUCAAUCAUCUUGAAAGCUUCAAUCUCUGUUGGAGUAAAGAGGUUAGGUAAAGGUUGAGGGAUAUCUUCUUCUUUCACCGCCGGAGGUUGGACCUCCAUGCCUUUCUUGAUCCCUUCAUCCUUGUUGAUCUCUUCUGGUUCUUCUCUUUUCAGUUCUAUCUUCAAAAGUCAAGCAUCCUUGUCUUCAUUGUUGGAGGAGGGUGAAGUCAUGGUGCUCUAAAUCUGCAAUAGAAACAGCUCGAAAUGAAAACAGAGGAUAUUUGCGUGAUACGGUGGUCAAAACCUUCGGGGGUAUAUAUAAUGAAUUUUUACCGACCAAAAUACGUAACAUACAAGAAAACGGAGUCCGGGAGGCACACGAGGUGCCCACGAGAUAGGGGGGCGUGCCCUACGAGGGGGGCCUCCUCUCUCGUGGGAGCCUCAUGUCCCUUUCGGACUACUUCUUUCUUCCUAAAAUUCUUAAACAAUCCAAAACUGAUAAAAAUUGGCAUUAGAGUUGUUUUGGAGUCGGUUUACUUACCGUACCACGUACCUAUGGCUUUUCGGAGUCUGGAACGUUCUGGAAAGUGUCUCCUAUGUAUUCCUCAGGGGUUAUGGUUUCAAUAAUAUUAGUUUCAACAUUGAUAGGAUUACCUGAAAUAUAAUGUUUAAUUCUUUGACCAUUUACCACCCUCGGAUUUGUGCCUUCGAAGUUGUUGAUUUUUAUAGCACCAGAAUGAUAGACCUCCUCGAUAACGUAGGGACCUUCCCAUUUUGAGAGAAGUUUUCCUGCAAAAAAUAUUAAAUGAGAGUUGAAUAAUAACACAUAAUCUCCUACGUUAAACUCACGCUUUUGUAUUCUCUUAUCAUGCCAGUGUUUGACUCUUUCUUUGAAGAGCUUGGCAUUCUCAUAGGCUUUGGCUCUCCAUUCAUCAAGUGAGCUAAUGUCAAAUAACCUUUUCUCACCGGCAAGUUUGAAGUCAUAAUUGAGCUCUUUAAUAGACCAAUAUGCCUUAUGUUCAAGUUCAAGAGGUAAAUGACAUGCUUUUCCAUAAACCAUUUUAUAAGGAGACAUACCCAUAGGAUUUUUCUAUGCAGUUCUAUAGGCCCAUAAUGCAUCAUCAAGUUUUUUGGACCAAUUCUUUCUAGAUCUAUUCACAGUCUUUUGCAAAAUUAAUUUGAACUCUCUAUUGCUCAACUCUACUUGACCACUAGACUGCGGAUGAUAAGGAGAUGCUAUUCUAUGAUUGACAUCAUACUUAGCAAGCAUCUUACGGAAAGCACCAUGAAUAAAGUGUGAACCACCAUCAGUCAUAAGAUAUCUAGGGACUCCAAACCUCGGAAAAAUAACUUCUUUAAGCAUUUUAAUAGAAGUGUUAUGAUCAGCACUACUAGUUGGAAUAGCUUCUACCCACUUAGUAACGUAAUCAACAGCAACUAAAAUAUGUGUAUAACCAUUGGAGGCAGGAAAAGGUACCAUAUAAUCAAAGACCCAAACAUCAAACAGUUCAAUAACAAGAGAGUAAUUCAUAGGCAUUUCUUGACGUCUACUAAUGUUACCUAUUCUUUGACAUUCAUCACAAGAUAAGACAAACUUACGAGCAUCUUUGAAGAGAGUAGGCCAAUAAAAACCAGAUUGUAGUACCUUGUGUGCAGUUCUAUCUCCAGCGUGGUGUCCUCCAUAGGAUUCAGAGUGACACUUGUGUAGGAUCUGUUCCUGUUCAUGCUCAGGCACACAACGUCUAAUAACACCAUCUACUUCUUCUUUAUAAAGAUGUGGGUCAUCCCAGAAAUAAUGUCUUAAAUCAUAAAAGAACUUUUUCUUUUGCUGGUAUGUGAAACUAGGCGGUAUAUAUUUAGCAACAAUGUAAUUAGCAUAGUCAGCAUACCAAGGAGGAGUACGAGAAGCAUUGACGACCGCUAAUUGUUCAUCAGGAAAGCUAUCAUUAAUAGGCAGUGGGUCAUCAAGAACAUUCUCUAACCUAGACAAGUUGUCUGCAAUAGGGUUCUCAGCUCCCUUUCUAUCAAUAAUAUGCAAGUCAAAUUCUUGGAGCAAGAGAACCCAUCUAAUGAGUCUAGGCUUAGCAUCCUUCUUUUCCAUAAGAUAUUUAAUAUCAGCAUGAUCAGUGUGAAUAGUAACUUUGGAAUCAACAAUAUAAGGUCUAAACUUAUCACAUGCAAACACGACUGCUAAGAACUCUUUUUUAGUAGUAGCAUAAUUCCUCUGGGCAGUAUCAAGAGUCUUACUAGCAUACUAGAUAACAUUCAAUUUCUUAUCGACUCUUUGCCCUAAAACAGCACCUACAGCAUAAUCACUAGCAUCACACAUAAUUUCAAAAGGUAAAUUCCAAUCAGGUGGCUGAACAAUAGGUGCAGUGAUCAAAGCUUUCUUAAGUGUUUCAAAUGCUUCUACACAAUCAUCAUCAAAGACAAAAGGAAUAUCUUUUGGCAAUAAAUUAGUCAGAGGCCUAGAGAUUUUAGAAAAGUCCUUAAUGAACCUCCUAUAAAAACUGGCGUGACCAAGGAAACUUCUUAUACCUUUUAUGUCCUUGGGACAUGGCAUCUUUUCAAUAGCAUCAACUUUGGCUUUAUCAACUUCAAUACCUCUCUCGGAGAUCUUGUGCCCCAAGACAAUGCCUUCAUUAACCAUAAAGUGACACUUUUCCCAAUUCAGGACUAGACUAGUGUCUUCACAUCUCUGCAAAACUCGAUCAAGGUUGCUCAAACAAUCAUCAAAAGAGGAUCCAUAGACGGAGAAGUCAUCCAUGAAUACCUCACAUAUCUUUUCACAAAAAUCAGAAAAUAUAGCCAUCAUGCAUCUUUGAAAGGUAGCAGGUGCAUUACAUAAACCAAAAGGCAUACAUCUAUAAGCAAAGGUACCAAAAGGGCAAGUAAAAGUAGUUUUAGAUUGAUCCUUUGCUAACAUAGGUAUUUGAGAGAAACCAGAAUAACCAUCUAGAAAGCAAAAGUGUGUGUGCUUGGAUAGCCUUUCUAGCAUUUGAUCAAUAAAAGGUAAAGGGUAAUGAUCUUUCUUAGUAGCUUUAUUUAACUUACGGAAAUCAAUUACCAUCCUAUAACCUGUAAUAAUUCUUUGCGGGAUCAAUUCAUCUUUAUCAUUAAGCACAACAGUAAUACCUCCCUUUUUAGGGACACAAUGGACAGGGCUUACCCAUUCACUAUCAGCAACGGGAUAAAUAAUACCUGCCUCAAGGAGCUUUAGUAUCUCCUUUCUUACCACUUCCUUCAUCUUGGGAUUUAAUCGUCUUUGAGGAUCUCUAUCUGGUUUGGCAUCUUUCUCCACUAAAAUUUUGUGUUAACAUAAUGUGGGACUAAUGCCCUUAAGAUUGUCCAGAGUAUAUCCAAUAGCAGCUCUGUGCUUCUUCAGAGUUUUCAAUAAUCUUUCUUCUUCUUUCUCUGAAAGGUUAGCACUAAUAAUAACAUGAUAUAUUUCUUUUUCAUCAAGAUAAGCAUACUUGAGAUUAUCAGGUAAAGGUUUGAGUUCAAACACGGGAUCACCAUUGGGUGGAGGGGGAUCCCCAAGAAUUUCAACGGGAAGGUUAUGUUUCAGCAUAGGUUCCUGUUUAAGGAACAGUUCAUCUAUUUCUUCCCUUUCCUUCAUAAACAUAUCGUUUUCAUGGUCUAGCAAAUAUUGUUCUAACGGAUCAGUUGGAGGAACGGCAAUGGAAGCAAGACCAAUAAUUUCAUCCUUACUAGGUGGUUCCCUUUCACGAGGUUGUCUACUAAACUUAGCAAAAUUGAACUCAUGAGACAUACCAUCUAUGCCAACAGUGACGACCUUCCUUUCACAAUUAAUCUUAGCACUAGCAGUAUUCAAGAAGGGUCUACCAAAAAUAAUGGGACAAAAAUCAUCUUGUGGGGAAGCAAGAACAAGAAAAUCAGCAGGGUAUUUAAUCUUCCCGCACAAGACUGCAACAUCUCUAACAAUCCCAAUAGGUUUAAUGGUGUCCCUAUUAGCAAGCUUAAUAGUAACAUCAAUGUCUUCUAAUUUCAUAGGUGCAAUAUCGUGCAUAAUUUCUUUAUAAAGAUCAUAAGGUAUCGCACUAGCACUAGCACUAGCACCCAUAUCACAUAAGCCAUGAUAACAAUGAUCUCCUAUUUUAACAGAAAUAAUAGGCGUGCCUACAACAGGUCUACGUGUUUUAGUAUCGGUCUAGCAAUAUUAGCAGUUUCACCCAAGAAAGAGAUAACAUGCCCAUCUAAGUCCUCAUCCAAGAGAUCUUUAAUCAUAGCAAUACCAGGUUCAACAUUAAUUUGCUCAGGAGGUGUAUAGGUCCUAGUAUUACUCUUACGAACAACAGUCAAAGCUUUAGCAUGAUCUUUUAUCCUAACAGGAAAAGGAGGUUUUUCAACAUAAGAAGUAGGAAUAAUAGGAUCACUAUAUGUAAUAGUCUUUUCUUCGACUGUAAUAGGUGCAACUACUUUCACUUCAACAGGAGGAUUAUAUUUAAACCACUUCUCUUUAGGGAGAUCAACGUGAGUAGCAAAAGUGUCACAAAAAGUAGCUACUAUCUCAAAGUCAAGUCCAUAGUUAGAGCUAAAUCCACGGAAAGCAUCGGUAUCCAUAAAAGAUUUAACACAAUCAAACUUAGGUGUCAUACCUGACUCCUUACCAUCGUCGGAACCCCAAUCUUCAGAGUUGUGUUUAAUUCUUUCCAAUAAGUCCCAUUCGAAAUCAAUAGUCUUCAGCAUAUAGGAACCAGCACAGGAAGUAUCGAGCAGGUUGCGAUUAUCAAGAGAAAGCCGAGCAUAAAAAUUCUGAAUAAUCAUUUCCCGAGAGAGCUCAUGAUUGGGGCAUGAAUAUAACAUUGACUUAAGCCUCCCCCAAGCUUGAGCGAUGCUUUCUCCUUCGCGAGGCCAGAAAUUAUAUAUGUAAUUACGAUCACGAUGAACAAGAUGCAUAGGAUAGAACUUCUGGUGAAAUUCCAACUUCAGUCGCUUAUAAUUCCAAGAUCUCGUAUCAUCACAUAGCCUAUACCAUGUCAUUGCAUCUCCCUUCAAAGAUAAAUGGAAGACCUUCCUUUUGACAACAUCAUCGGGAAUACCUUCAAGCUAAAUAAUCCACAAACUUCAUCCACAAAGAUAAGGUGUAAAUCGGGAUGCAAUGUUCCGUCUCCUGCAAAAGGAUUAGCUAGCAGUUUUUCUAUCAUACCCGAAGGAAUCUCAAAGUGAAUAUUUUCAUAAAGUUCAGUAGGUUGAGGAGCAUCUCUUUGCUCUUCUGGUUGGGGUGAAGAUACCCCAAACAAGCCCCUCAAAGGAUUAGUUUCCAUAGUGACAAGUAACAGAAAAUUUCAGCACACUAUAUAAAUGUUUCCUUACCAAGUUCCACUCACCAAAAGCGCUACACUCCCCGGCAACGGCGCCAGAAAAGAGUCUUGAUGACCCACAAGUGUAGGGGAUCUAUCAUAGUCCUUUCGAUAAGUAAGAGUGUCGAACCCAACGAGGAGCAGAAGGAAAUGACAAGCGGUUUUCAGUAAGGUUUUCUCUGCAAGCACUGAAAUAAUAGGUGAUAGAUAGUUUUGUGAUAAGAUAAAUAGUAACGGGUAACAAGUAAAUAAAGUAAACAAAGUGCAUCAAGGUGGCCCAAUCCUUUAUGUAUCAAAGGAUAAGCCUGGACAAAUUCUAAUAAUGGUAAAGGAGCUCCCGAGGACACAUUGGGAAUUAUCGUCAAGCUAGUUUUCAUCACGUUCAUAGGAUUCGCGUUCGGUACUUUGAUAAUUUCAUAUGUGGGUGGACCGGUACUUGGGUACUGCCCUAACUUGGACAAGCAUCCCACUUAUUAUUAACCCCUAUUGCAAGCAUCCACAACUACAAAAGAAGGUAUUAAGGUAAACCUAACCACAACAUUAAGCAUAUGGAUCCAUAUCAACCCCUAAUGAAGCAACGCAUAAACUAGGGUUUAAACUUCUGUCACUCUAGCAACCCAUCAUCUAAUUAUUACUUCCCCAUGCCUCCCUCUAGGCCCAAAUAAUGGUGAAGUGUCAUGUAGUCGACGUUCACAUAACACCACUAGAGGAAAGACAACAUACAUCUCAUCAAAAUAUCGAACGAACACCAAAUUCACAUGACUACUAAUAGCAAGACUUCACCCAUGCCCUCAGGAACAAACGUAACUACUCACAAAGCAUAUUCAUGUUCAUAAUCAGAGGAGUAAUAAUAUGCAUAAAGGAUCUGAACAUAUGAUCUUCCACCAAGUAUACCAAUUAGCAUCAACUACAAGGAGUAACCAACACUACUAGCAACCCACAGGUACCAAUUUGUGGUUUUGAUACAAGAUUGGAUACAAGAGAUGAACUAUGGUUUUGAGAGGAGAUGGUGCUGGUGAAGAUGUUGAUGGAGAUUGACCCCCUCUCGAUGAGAGGAUCGUUGGUGAUGAUUUCCCCCUCCCAGAGGGAAGUGUCCUCGGCAGAAUAGCUCCGCCAGAGCCCUAGAUUGAUUCUGCCAAGGUUCCGCCUCAUGGCGGCGGAGUUUCGUCCCGUAAGCUUGCCCACUAUUUUUUCCAGGGUAAAACUGAUGAUAUAGCAGAAGAUGGACGCCGGAGGCCCACCAGGGGGCCCAGGAGAUAGGAGGCCGCGCCCUACAGGGGGGCGCCCCCUGUCUCCUGGACAGGGUGUGGGCCCCCUGGCCUAUUUCUUUCGCCCAUAAAUUCUUAUUAAAUCCAAAAAGUUGCUUUGUGGAGUUUCAGGACUUUUGGAGUUGUGCAGAACAGGUUUCCAACGUUUGCUCCUUUUCCGGCCAGAAUUCCAGCUGCCGGCAUUCCCCCUCUUCAUGGUAAACCUUGUAAAAUAAGAGAGAAUAGCCAUAAGUAUUGAGAUAUAAUGUGUAAUAAUAGCCCAUAAUGCAAUAAAUAUUGAUAUAAAAGCAUGAUGCAAAAUGGACGUAUCACUUAGCUCCACACUGGUGAGAAGACUAGAUUAGGUGCCGGACGUGCCUGUCCAUUUGCUUUCUGAAGUUGCUUGUAGUUUUUUAGUAAUCUUUCAAUGGAUUUGGUAUUCUCGAACGCUGGUUCCUUGAGUUGUUUCCUUCUCCUAAGCUGUUUUUGGUCUAAGGACGUGAGAGAGGUGGCAGUCGCCCGCCACUUCUCCUCGCGCUCCUCGUGCGUGGGACUCGGUAGGUUUGUGCGCCCUGGGCUUGCCUUUGCGCGCACGCACCGGGCCGAACCCUGGUUCUUGAGGAUAUAGCUACUGAGUGUAAACCGCCCAGGAGGGGCCGGUUCAUGCUCAUCUAUAUUGAAGCUCAUGAAGACAAAGAAGAUGACAUUCUACUAUUAAAGCUUAGAGGCCCAGAGCCCAAAGGGGGAUUAGGGCCCAUAGUUGUAAACCGCCAUAAUCAUAUAACUUGUAUUGUAAGAUAGGGAGAGGAAGAGACCGAGCCGGACACUUGUAUGAGCCAGCCUCGGGACACUGUAAACCGGCCGGGCGUCAACCUGUGUAUAUAAAGGGACGACCCGGCGGCGGUUCAGGAAUAGAAAACAACAACUCGAGACUCGGGCAAAGCAUAUUCGCUCCCAGCUCAUCGAGAUCAAUCAAUCCCACCACAACUAGACGUAGGCUUUUAUCUUCAUCGUAAGGGGCCGAACUAGUAUAAAACUCUCGUGUCCCUUGUCCGGUUUAACCCCUUUAAGCUAAUCUCGUUGCGAUGGCUCCACGACUAAGUCCUUCUGCUAGGACAUCUGAUGUGUUAAUUCCACGACAGUUGGCGCCCACCGUGGGGCUACUGCACGAUGGUUUCGAGUUCUUAAAGGGCAACUUUGAAGGGCUCAAAGGGUACGUGGUUGGCCGGAUGACCAAGAGUCGUCGUGGCAAGCUCUACAUCGACGACGCAGGCUGGGGCCCCGAGGCCGGCUCAAUCGAGUACGGGUACCGGGUCCCCUUUGGUGGAAUUCACGUUUUCAUCGGCAAGAUCUGCGAACCGGGCCCUGAGCCGGACAUCUCCACCGACCUCGUCGAGACGGCUCAGCGUGCAAGUCCUUCCCGGGUUCAGCCUGCCAGGAAGCAUGCGUUCAUAGGGUUCAUCCAUGGUGCGGGAUCUGAACCGGUGUCCGACGGUGAGACGGCCAUCUACUCAGAUGGUGAAUCAUCCACUGGCGAAACCGAAUCGCUGUACCAAUUGCAAGAUGGCCGGAUUGGGGGAUAUUUCAAUGGCAAUAGUAUUUCGGGCCCCUUUGAACUGCCAAACCGGGUUGCGGUCUUCAUGGCCGGUACGCAGCCCACCAUGCAAUCUUCAUCUACAUUAGCAAUGAUCUCUGGAUCGGCAGCCGCGGCAGGAGGCCCGAUGCGCCGGCCGGCUCAAGUUCUUGCCGGUUUGCUGGACACUUUGACAACAUUGUUGACCACGGCAGCCACCCCAGAGACCCAAGAUCAGCACAAUGCGGAUGUUACAAAACUAAAGGAUCAGAUAACUCAGGCCAAGGCGGACUUGGCAGCUGAGGAGACCAGAAUGGCUGAAUAGCGGGCCGCUUUAGAUGCCCAAUCACAGCAAAUCCAGGCGUAGAAUUACCGGCUUAUGUUGGAUCAGAACGCGUCAAAUGAAGUAAUGAGAAGGAAGUACCAGUCUCGUUUGCCGCCGGUUUACGAUGGUAUGAAUCUCUUCAGUACGCCAGGAGCCGGGCCUAGUAAUCCGGCAGCGGUAAACCGGACCGAAGCACCUGGGGCAGCGUCAGAUCAGCCACAGGUGAUGGACCCGCCUCGACGGACGGAUAACCCGCCACAAUACGUAACAACGCCACCAUGUCACUUCUCUAGUCCUUUGGAUAACAUGAUUGCUGCAGCGUCACAUUUGGCAGCUAUUCCGAUGGAGGAUGACUCACUGGCGGCAGUUGAGACACGACAGGCCAGGGAUCUUCUUCAAACCGCUAUUGUGCAACAGCAGGCUUAUUCCUACAGCCGAGACAGAAUACAUUCAACCCCCCGUCCAAGCAAGAUUUAUAGCAAGCACAUGGAUGAACCGGCCAUGUCAAGCAGUGCGCGGCAUCGUGAUGCCCCUUAAGGGCCUAAUCCGGCACACGGCGGUUUGAAUGCUCAGGAUGUGGUGAACAAUGGCAGAGCACAGCGUGAAGCAGCGUUAGCAGCACAGUUGGUGGCAUAAUACCAGAAUCAACCCGCCCCGGUUCAGCCAGCGGCAUCAGUUGAACGUGGUUUGACUUUUAGCUCUUGGGGAGUACCGUGCCUCACCCCGGCUCUGCGUAAUGUGCGGCUGCCCAAGGAUUUCAAGGGUCCGCGUAAAGUGCCUAAUUAUACUGCCGAUCAACCCCCCGAGGCGUGGGUUGAAAGUUAUGAGACGGCAAUGGAGAUGCUAGAUGUGGAUGAAUCAGCGUGUGCAAAUUACUUCACCAUGAUGUUAGAAGGAACGGCUCGUACUUGGCUGAAGAGUCUACCUAUUAACUCGAUUAGUUCAUGGGAUGAGUUGAAGGCCAAGUUUAUAGCAAACUUCAAGGAUACGUGCAAGCAACCCAUGUCCAUUGUGGAUCUGGCAGCUUGUGUCCAAGGAGAAAACGAGUCAACAACUCAUUGGGUGCGUCGGGUUUCAGGAAUCUUGCACUCGUCAGGCCGUAUUAAUCCUGAUACGGCAAUCAUGACCUUGGAGGGUAAUUGCCGAUUUAAGUCACUAAAGAUGAAGUUGGUAUGGCUCAAGCGUCACUGCAAUGAUAUGGGAACACUCAUGGCGGCUUUGGUUAAGUAUGCUGAUUCUGAUAGUACCAAGGACCCCGAUUCUGAUGAAGAAAAGCAGGAGAAGGGAAAUAAGAAUGCCGGUACAAAAGGACAGCAUAACUCGGCGGGCCAUGGGAACAAUGGUAAGCGUAAAGCGGACAAUUCAGAUUUUGUGGCUAACACCAAUAUGCAGGGCAAUAUGCAGCGCCAUAAGGGUAAAUCGCCCCAGCGCGGUGGAGGCAUGAAUCUGGAACGCCUGUUAAACCAACCCUGCCCAAAGCACGGGACAAAGGAGGUUCCGGCUACGCACCUCUGGAAGGAUUGUUACAUCAUGAGGGAAUUCAAAAACUCUAAUCUUUUCAAGUAUGAUCAGGUUCCAUCCAGUGGCUCCGGUCCAGGGUUUCACGGGCCGGGUUACAGUGGUGGUGGUUCAAACUCUGGAUUUCAGAAUAAUCAGGGCAACCAGAACAAGCAAGGUGGUCAUAGUCAGCAGAGUAAUCAGGGGAAUCAGCAGCAGUCGGGUUAUCAGAGCAACCCAAGCAGUUAAAUGGUGGACAAUAUCAUCUUUUCACUACUAGUCUGUGCAAGCGCGAUCAGAAGCUCCAUAAAAGGGCAAUAAACUCUGUUGAACCGGUAGUGCCUCGUUAUCUGUGCUGGUCGGAACAACCUAUUGUUUGGAGUCGGGAGGAUCAUCCGCCCCGGGUUGACAAUCCGGGUCACCUAGCUUUGGUGGUUGCACUGCAGGUUGGAGGUUAUAAGUUUACCAAGGUGCUCAUAGAUGGAGGGAGCAGUAUCAAUAUCUUGUAUUAUGAAACCUUCCGGCCUAUGGGGUUAACAGACAAGAAUCUUAAACCGUCCAACACCGUUUUUCACGGUGUGGUGCCUGGUAAAUCGGCUUACCCAGUCGGUAAGAUAGCUCUAGAGGUGGUUUUUGGUGAUGAUCAUGAUUCAAGAUCAGAGACGGUGACCUUUGAAGUGGUUAAAAUCAGAAGUCCGUACCAUGCCCUGUUUGGACGGCCAAUUUAUGCUAAAUUCAUGGCAAGGCCGUGUUAUGUUUAUCUGCAGCUCAAGAUGCCAGGUCAUAAGGGGACCAUCACGGUUCACGGUAGCCGCAAGAUUGCUCUGGAGUGUGAGGAAGGUGAUGCGGCUUAUGCUGAGUCAGUUUGUGCAACGGAGGAGUUGAAGUUUUAUAAGGACAAUGUUGAUCCGGCAGAUAUGACUUCCCUGAAGAAGCCCACUACAGAGCAUGAUCCGGCUUUGAAGUUUAAAGUGGCUGAUGAGACUAAAUUGGUUGAUUUUGUUCCCGGCGAUUCAUCCAAGCAGUUCAGCAUCAGCCUCAACUUGGAUCCGAAAUAGGAAAGCGUGCUCAUCGAGUUCAUCCGUGAGAACCGGGACAUCUUUGCAUGGAAACCUUCUGACAUGCCAGGUGUACCGACGGAACUCGCUGAGCACACUCUUAAUAUUGAUCCAAAGUUCAAACCGGUCAAACAGUUUCUUCGCCGUUUUAAUGAAGAGCGGCGCAAGGCCAUUGGUGAAGAGGUAGCCCGGCUGUUGGCAGCAGGGUUUAUUGUGGAGGUAUUUCACCCAGAGUGGUUGGCUAAUCCAGUGCUGGUACUUAAGAAAAAUGGUACUUGGCAUAUGUGUGUGGAUUACACAGAUUUGAACAAGGCUUGCCCAACUGAUCCCUUUGCCCUCCCUCGUAUUGAUCAAAUCAUUGAUGCUACGGCGGGUUGUGAGCGUUUGAGUUUCUUGGAUGCUUAUUCUGGUUAUCAUCAGAUCAAGAUGGCAGUUAAGGACCAGGAGAAGACAACUUUCAUGACUCCAUUUGGAGCCUUCUGUUAUGUGUCUAUGCCCUUUGGGCUCAAGAGUGCCGAGGCAACUUAUCAACGUCGUGUGCAGAAUUGUGUUCAUACUUAGAUUGGGCGCAAUGUUCAUGCUUAUGUGGAUGAUAUUGUGGUGAAGUCCAGGAAAGCAGAGAUAGUCAUAACUGAUUUGCAAGAAACCUUUGAUAAUCUGAGAGUUUAUAAAAUGAUGCUCAAUCCGGCUAAGUGUGUCUUUGGUGUGCUAGCUGGCAAACUCUUGGGUUUUCUGGUGUUCAACAGGGGCAUUGAGGCUAAUCCGGAAAAGAUCAAGGCUAUCACAUCCAUGGCUAAACCGACAUGUAUCAAUGAUGUUCAACGUUUGGCAGGUCGUAUCGCGGCUUUGAGUCGGUUUAUCAGCAGGUUGGGAGAAAAGGCGAUCCCUCUGUAUCAAUGUUGAAGAUAACAGACAGUUUUGUCUGCAGCGACGCUGUUGAUGCGGCGUUUGAGGACUUGAAGAAGCAAUUGGCUGAACCACCGGUUCUUGCUGAUCCAGUUGAUAAGGAGCCACUAUUGUUAUACGUGGCUGCUAAUGCCCGGGCUGUCAGCGUAGCUUUUGUGGUGGAACGCAAGGAGGCUGGGAAGGAGUACCCGGUUCAAAGGCCGGUUUAUUAUAUCAGCAAAGUGCUCAUUGAGUCAAAGCAAAGAUACCCGCAUUGGCAGAAGCUGGUAUAUGGGGUUUUCAUGGCAAGUCAGAAGCUUAAAUAGUACUUUCAGCCCAUCACAGUGGUCAGUUCUGCUCCUUUGGGGGAUAUAAUCCAGCACAGGGAGGCAACUGGCCGGGUUGCUAAGUGGGCUAUUGAGCUUGGACCACACGGUUUGAAGUAUAUGCCUCGAACAACUAUCAAAUCCCAGGCCCUUGUGGAUUUCAUCAAUGAUUGGACAGAGUUGCAGAUACCGGAAGACAAACCGGACAGCACAUACUGGACUAUCCACUUUGAUGGAUCCAGGCAGUUGGAGGGCUCGGGGGCUGGAGUUGUCCUUACUUCCCCUCGAGGUGAUAAAAUUCAUUAUGUUCUUUGCUUAAUGUUCCCUUGUACUAACAAUGCAGCUGAAUACGAAGCCUUACUCCAUGGUCUUCGAGUGUCUAAGGAGAUGAACUUAAGCCGGGUACGAUGCUUUGGAGACUCAGACCUGGUGGCCCAACAAGUUUCAGGUACUUGGGAUUCUACGGAUCCACUCAUGGCAGCUUAUCGAUGAGAGGUGGAUAUUGUCGCUGGUCACUUCAAGGGUUAUCAAGUGGAGCACAUUGAUCGGUGCAAAAAUGAGGCAACUAAUGCUUUAAGCCGGCUGGGAUCUCAUCGUAAACCGGUGCCGCCCAAUACCUUUCUGGAUGUCUUGCACAACCCGUCCGUUCAGUUGCCUACGGAGGAGGACCUCGCUAUUCCUGAUCCGGAGGCACAUUUGGUGGCUGCUUUACACAUUAUUCCGGAUUGGACGGUUCCAUACUUGGCGUAUUUGAACCGGGGCGAGUUGCCAAAGGAUGCAGUUUUGGCCAGAAAGAUAGUCCGGCGAUCCAAGUCCAUGGUUGUUCACAAUGGCAAGUUACACCAUUGCAGUGUUACUGGUGUGUUCCAGCGCUGUGUUUCUCCUGAAGAAGGUUGUGAGAUUUUACGAGAGAUCCACGAAGGAGACUGUGGUCAUCAUGCCGGUUCAAAACCCUUGGUUGCUAAAGCUUUUCUUCAUGGUUUCUAUUGGCUGACGACUCAUGCUGAUGCUGAGGACUUGGUGAGGCGGUGUGAUGGUUGUCAGAAAUUCUCACGAUGAGCUCAUGUUCCGGCUCAGGAGCUACGGAUGAUUCCCAUCACUUAGCCAUUUGCUACUUGGGGGCUUGACAUGGUAGGGCCUUUCAAGCAAUCCAAAGAUAAGAAGACCCACCUGUUGGUGGCGGUUGACAAGUUUACUAAAUGGGUUGAAGCGGAGCCCGUAAGCAAGUGUGACGCAGCCACGGCAGUUCAAUUCAUCAAACGGGUGAUCUUCCGUUUUGGUUUUCCACAUAGCAUCAUCACAGAUAAUGGCACGAACCUUUCCAAAGGUGAGAUGGAGGACUUUUGUCAAAGAGAACACAUCAGGCUUGAUGUGUCAUUCGUGGCUCAUCCCCAAUCUAUUGGUCAGGCUGAGAGGGCUAACCAGGAAAUUUUAAAAGGUACCGAACCUUGGCUUAUGGUCCCUUUGAAGAGGACGCCGGGUUGUUGGGUGGAAGAAUUGCCAUCUGUGUUAUGGAGCAUAAACACCACCCCAAACCGAUCUACAGGUUAUACACCUUUUUUCAUAGUUUACGGGGCAGAGGCAGUACUCCCAAGUGACAUUCGUCAUGACUUGCCCCGGGUUGCCAAUUAUGUUGAAGCGGACAACGAGCAAGCACGUCAAGAAGCACUGGACCUGUUAGAUGAAAAACUUGACAUGGCGUUGGCUCGUUCGGCGGUUUAUCAGCAAGACCUGCGGCGUUAUCACAACCGCUGGGUUAAAACAAGAACCUUUCAAAAAGGCGACUUAGUGCUCCGGCUCAUCUAGGAUCAGACCGAUAUGCACAAGUUAUCCCCACCUUGGGAAGGGACUUUUGUGGUCAGCAAGAAUCUACACAACGGAUCAUACUACCUCAUCGACGUUCGCGAGCACAAAGACUCAAGCAAAUCGGAAGAGGAGACCCGUCGGCCGUGGAAAUCGCUCAUCUACGGCCUUACUACACCUGAGCCAUAGGCUCUCAUUAUGUACAUAUUAUCACAAUGUAUAUAUUAUGAUCAAUAUAAUAAACCGGCAUCCUUGCUACAAGCAGGGCCUCUGCCGUUUUAUCCAAUAUUUCUUGGUUACAAGGGGGGCUUCGGCUUACAAAGCGACGUCCUGUUUAUCCAUCAAACCGGCUAUACAACCACAAUAAAGCUUGGGAGCUUCACACCCAAGGGGCCAAAGAGAGUAUUGUUGCUAACAGCACAACUCAAACAUAGGCACCCAUUGAGCACAGCUCACAAAGUUACUUGGGGGCUCUUUGUGCAAAGCAACAAAGAGUUUGAAAGGACCCUUGUAAUUGGCUAUCGAGCCACGUCUUGGAAGCCUGGUGUAUUCACCUAAAACUCCGGGUUAACCUGCCUUCAUCAAGUAAGCCACUCCUAUCUAGGUAAUCCUGGCAUGACCCGCCGAACGUUUGACAAGUCAAUCUUAUACAGACCCUGAACUUGUCAAAGUUAAAAUGACGAUUGGUUAGAUGGACCCAAUCUUAAAAGGCUUUGUCAAAUGGUUUAACUCAGCGGCCUGGCAGCCCAUGAAAAGCCUUGAAUUUGGGCCUGGCAGCCCUUGAAAAGCCUCGACUACAAGUUUUAUUCGAUUUUGUUUUUGCAAAGUUUUAUCUAUUCUUAUAUGGUUCUAAGUUAAACCGGCGUCUACUGACCCAACCCGACUAUAUGUCAUUACAUCAACCCGGUGUUUCUUAAAACCGGCGUGGCUUACAGCUAUUAGCUGUUAGCACAUAAUCAAAUAUGAACCGUCAUCUCUUAAUCUGGUCUCGCAAUGACUAUAAGUCACCAGGAUGAUCAUCCGGUGUUUAUCAUAACCCGGCAUGGUUUAUUACGCACCAGCACAAUGCGAUGGGCGUUUUCAAACACUCCAGGUUUGGGUUAUCACGCUUACUACAUAAAGUUGGUAAACCAACAAAAGUGAUUUAAUAUCAAAGGUAUGAUAUAUUUCAUAUUCCAUUACUUUAUAACCUUGGUUAUGAGAAUUCUGGUUCUAUAUUGGGUAUCAUAACCCGUCUGAUGGUAAACCGCCAGGACAUGUUUAAGUUUUUUCAAAUGCAGAAGGCAGGAUUUUUUAAGAAAUACCAAGGCAAAUAAAGCAAGCAUAGCAACAAUCAUGCCAGAUUACAAUAUCAGGUAGCAGUGCACGAUGGCAGAAGGUCAAAGUAUUUCAACUAGCCUAUUACAAGGCGCUUUGAUGCCCAAAAGAAUAAUUGUUUGUUGCCCACAAUGCUAUCAAACCGGCUGCCGGAUUAUGAUUCGUCACCAGGCUGACGUGAAGUUGAAGGAUCAUCUCGCGCCGGUUCAACCUCCUCCUCCUCACCCAGUGGCUGGGAGUCAAGGGUGGUCCAAUCAAUCCUGGUUAAGGCUUGAAAGACAGCUUCGUUGCUUAUAAGGUUUGAUGGUUCAACGUCAGGGGCAUAGGUGUGCUUACGUAUUGGAGGGAUUAGAUUUUGUGCUUCUUUCACAGCUGCGUCAAGCCGUUUGUUGUCUGCGUCAUAGCUGGACCGAUAGACAGACAAAUCAACCUCUUCAGCCAAUUGGCUUGCCAGUGGGCGCAUCUUCUUCUUGUAGCAGAUCACUUUACCGUUUGUCGCGCAACCUCUUCAGCCAAUUGGCUUUCCAGCUGCGUCAAGCCGUUUGUUGUCUUUUUUGUCAAGACUUUGAGGGCUUCAUUAUCAAAUUCUGAUCCGUCUUCUUGUUGACCAGGAUAGCCCUUUGCGAUAUGCCGGAUCAAGAUCAGCAAUCCAAGCUUUCGCCCGAGUCAGUUCUGUUAAAGCACCAGCUCUUGCAGCAGAUCGCUUUAUCUCUUCCAUCUGGGCUGGGGUCAUAGAUGAUUUCGCCAAUGUAUCCUUGAUCAGGGUUGGUGCCGAUUUAUUGAAAGAGGACGCACAGAUGACUCGUUGAGCACCAGUGUACAAUUGUUCUAUCAAUGUGUAGGCUGCUUUCAACUUCAUCCGCAUAUCGGAGCCCAGAUGACCAAUACGACUACCUGCAACGGUUUAAGAAUUUGAUGUUAAACCGGCAUUUCAAAGAUGUUUAAGAAAGGUUCUUGCAAAGAGUACUUACCAAAUAUUGCUGAAGUCAUAGCAUUGACUUGAUGCUUUAGCCCAGUUAGCUCAUCUACCACCGGUUUAAGAGAUGCUUUGGCAUCUUUAGCCCGCUUUAACAGAGCAGCUUUCUCAGUUUCCCAAUCCGCCUGCUCACUUUUAAAACCAUCCUUUAACUGCUCCAUGGCAGUUAAAGCGCCCUUCAGUUCAUCCUUGGCCUUGGAGGUUUCUGCUUGCUGGGGCUUAAUGUUUUCUUGAAGAUCGGCAAUCUGGGAGUCUUUGUUGCUCAAGUCAGCCUGCAAAAGACAGAUGAUGAAGAGGUUAAGAUUGUUUCUCAAAGUCCCAAGCACAUAACAAGUUAUACACUUGGCACUUGGGGGCUAAUGCGGAUUGCUUCUUUUUGACUAUUAUUCAAAGUCCCAAGGCUCAAUACAAGUAUUAAUCUUCGCACUUGGGGGCUAAUGUGUAAUUGAUCAGACAAAUCAAAGGUGAAGGAAUUCAACAAGGAUAGGUUUUGAACAGAAAGUCCCGGUUCAUCUUGAAAAGGUAAACCGGCCCUUGGGGGUUACACAGUUGAAGUCUUUUUUAUCUAAAGUCUCGGUUCAUCUUGAAGAGAUAAACUGGCCCUUGGGGGAUACACUGGAGUUGAUAUAUAGUACAAAGAGAAAUUAUGAAGUGUUUGGAAGUUACCUCAUAGCGCUCCUUGAUCAUAUUGACUAAACCGGCCUCAUAGUCACGGCUUGUAUAUAGGUGGUUUAGGUAUCCAGAGUGAAGUUCUUGAGUGGGGAGAUGAGCAUAGCUGGAAAGAUCAGUCUUCCAUUUGCCAUUCCCUUCAGGAGCAGAUUCCACUUUAGCACUGUGCUUUGACAAAGCGACAUGAUUACUAGGAGAAGUAUGGCCAAACCCAGUAAUCACAACAUCAUCAGUUGCUUUUGGGCUAGCCGGUUUAUCUGAGGCCUUGGCCGGGCUAGGCGGAUCAGCAGUUGGACUUGGAGGAUUGGCAUGCGAGCUUGGUGGAUCAACAUGAGGACUCGCCGGGUUAACCUCUGGCGGAGCAACAUAAGUGUCCUGACCUUGUGGCACAGGAUCAUCCAUAGCAAUAUCGGCAUCUCCACCAGCACCUUCUGAGUUCCUCCCCGGUUCAACCUCAUCAAUGGGGGCAUUGGUCUUUGUUUUCUUGCUCAGUCGAGCUUUGGCACUACUAACUGGCAAACAGAGGUUAAUAUGGUAAACUGGCACAAGAAGGCAAACUUAAAAUUAUUAUACGUACCCAGAGACGGUCUUGAGGGGAGGCAUUUGCGUGGUUGAUGAAUCGCUAGAGGAUGAAUAGGAAGUUACCUGAUAAUUUGAGUCAGACGGAUUAAGAGGGUAUCAGAAGUAACCCGCCAAGGGAUAAGAAUUGAUAGAAUUACAAGAGACCUCGGCACGGCGCUUCCGGAUUGGGGUGUCUAUCGGUGUUCUGGGAACGGGGCCCCCCAGACUUGCCUGCCUGCGGCCUGCGGCGUGGCUCAAGCGAAGGCUCAGUGCAGCCCAGCUUCAUCAGCUCAAGCUCAAGACCCUCGCGAGGGGCCAAGCCUCGUGGGGUGGACGACAGGAACCUUCCUCAGGAGCAGCCUCAUCAGGCAGGCUCGCGAGGAGGCGGAGAGAUCAAGGCAGGGUACCUCACGAGGUGCCCGUGACACAAGCCAUGACGAUUGAGCCCAGGCGGGCGCCAGGCGGGCGUCGGCCUGCGCAGUGUCCUUGUUUCCCCUUUGAUGCAAAGGGAGCAAGCACAAGCCAAGGCAUCAGGCAAAGGUUACCGCUUCGGUGCAACAAGACCAACACCAGCAGAGUGGCAUGAUGGAAGUCAUCGUGGAGCCCAGGAUGGCAUCACCGCCAGAGUCUUUGGCAGUCGAAGACUAACUUUAGUCAGGAUAAGUGUACUAGAUGUUCCCCUUCAAAAUGGCCAAUUGUUGGCGCCCUUCCUGCUCAUUAUUUGGGAAGAGGCCCAGGGCUUCCCUCUAUAAAUAGGACUAGCCACCACAGUAGAAAGGAGAACGGAUCCAGAUUGCGCAUAGACUAGAGAGAGGCGACUAAACUCAACCAAGCAGUUCAUCGCACCAGCUCAAGAACAGCCCCUCGCGAGGUUGUUCUCCCUUUGUAUUGUCCAUGAUCAGCCCCUGAGGCAAUCCACCACACGACACACUGGAGUAGGGUAUUACACCACAAUGGUGGCCUGAACCAGUAUAAAUCUCAUGUCCCUUGUGUGCUCUUCUUGCUAGCCUAGAUUCCUUGCGAGCCAUCGAGACGCGAGUUGGUAGGGGAAAGAUAUUUGUGCGCACCCCAGAGUUCGAACCUCAAGGGUCUGCCAGAACCCGAAAUCCGACAUUUGGUACGCCAGGGGGUGCGCUGGAAUCUUUCUUCCGCUGUUCGCGUGUGAUCUUCCGUCGUAUCCAUGGCUGACGCUCGUCGGGCUCGCGCUGAGCGUCGGCCUGCUCUCGCCACCCGCGUCGCCCAGACGGCGCCCAUUGGUGGACGCCCCCGUCGUUACCCGUCGCCUGCCGCCAACGCCUCCACCGGCCCAGCGGGGAACAAGCAGCAUGCCUCGUCCCUACAUCCUUCGGUGCAGCGGGAAGGCUGCACCGCCACCCCGUCGCUGACUCCAGCCGGUUUGUUGUCCCACACCUGUCGCGCCCCCACGGACGCGCACGCUGUGCUGCUCCUGGCGCGUGAGCUCCUGCACUACCAUCCCAUCGACGACCUCUACGAGGACUGGCUCGCCCACAUCACCGAGCUCGUCAGCGCUGUGGGGGACUCCGCUGCGCCAUCCCUCUCACUGCCUCGCCCUCCGUCCUGCGCAGGAGGCGCAGAACAGGAGGUGCCUCCGCCACCUCCUCCCCAAGAAGGCGCCCUGGCUCCAAGGCGCGCGGCCCCAGGACAAGACCCUCCACGUCCGGCGCCCGUGCGACAAGAAAGGAUUUGCCAAGAAAUCCCUCGCCCCCAAGAAGGUGCCCGCGUGCUCCCAGCACCGGUGCGCCAUGACCGCAUCCCUGCGUUACCACGUCAAGACCCCACGCUGCUCCAAGCGGCGGCGUGUGGGAAUUUCCAGGAGCAAGCCUAGCACCAGCAAAGGGCUCCGGUGGCCACCGCAUGCUGCCGCGCCUUCACCCCCGAGCUACACAGUGUUGCAUGGCCAGGCAAGUUCAAGCCUGACCUGCCCCCUCACUACGAUGGCACUGCAGACCCUGCAGAGUUCCUACAGCUCUAUGAGCUGGGCAUCGAAGCCGCCAACAGGGACGAAAAGGUCAUGGCGAACUGGUUUCCCAUGGUGCUCAAGGACGAUGCCCGCACCUGACUUCUGAACCUAGCUCCUGGCAUGAUCUCCUCCUGGGACGAGAUGCGCACUCGCUUCAUCGCCAACUUCCAAGGCACUCGCGACCGGCCCCCAGCCAUGAGUGACCUGCGCCGCAUCAAGUAACAGCCAGGAGAGACCCUACAGAAGUACAUCCAGCGCUUCAACAAUGCUCGCCUCAAGAUCCCCAGGGUGACUGAGGAAGCCAUCAUCUGAGCCUUCUCCGAUGGCGUGCGUGACAUCAAGAUGAAAGAGGAGCUAGCAAUCCAUGAAGACAUGUGCACAUCCCUGGAGCUGUUCAACUUGGCGACCAAGUGCGCCAGGGCUGAGGAAGGGUGCCUCUCCCUCCUCGAGCUUCCGGCUGCCGAUCUAGAAGAGAAGAAGCCCAAGGUCAAGGACGUGAAGCGUAAGGGAGCUGCCGUGCUUGAAGCGGAGCCAGACACCAAGCGAGGCAGGGGUCAGCCUGGGUCAUCCAAGGGUAGCUGGUACUGCGUGAACCACGACCUCCACACCCACAACACCAACGAAUGCCAAGAGCUCAGGGCCGUACGAGAUGCGCGUAUCAGCCGACGUCUCGAGCGCAACGAUCGGGGCUAUGGCCGAGGAGGCGGAAGAGGUGGAGGACGAUGGGAAGACCGUGGCCCUCGCCAAGGGUGGCGUGACCGACCUCGCGAGGACCGUUGGCAGGACCAGCAUCACGAGAGAGGUUGGAGGGAUCAGCCUCGUGAGGAUCGCCCGCACGGCAACGCAGGCCUCCCUCCUCUGCCACCACCGCCAAGGAGGAAUGAAGACCCGCAUCAGGACAAGGGGGCUGGGGGCUUCCAGGAGCCGCGCGCAAUCGCUUGCAUCCUGGGCGGCGCCCAGGCCCGAGCCUCACAGCGCAUCUUCAAGCAGUUUGCUCGUGAGGUGAAUGUAGUCCUCUCCAAGCUUGAGGCCAUGCACCCUCUCAGGUGGUCUGCGUGCGCUAUCACAUUCAGCUCAGCGGAUUAGCUCAAGUGUGCAGCAACGGCCGGAGUCCUCCCAAUGCUUUGUUCCCCAGUCAUCAGCAAUGUGCAACUCACAAGGACCCUCAUCGAUGGCGGAGCAGGACUCAACGUCCUAUCCGUCGAGACAUUCAACAAUCUCCAAGUGCCAUAUGAUCAGCUUCAGCCGACCAAGCCUUUCUCAGGAGUCACUAAUGGUUCCACUAUUCCGAUAGGGCAGGUUCGCCUUCCAGUCACCUUUGGGCAGCACAACAACGACCGCACCGAGCUCAUUGACUUAGACGUCGCCCACAUUCGCCUGCCGUACAAUGCCAUCCUCGGGUACCCAGCCCUGGCCAAGUUCACGGCAGUGACUCACCAUGGCUACAAUGUCCUCAAGAUGCCAGGAAGCGGUGGAGUUAUCACAGUACCCUGUGAGGAAAGGGAUGCAGUGUGUUCUCUUGAGCGUGCCUUCCAAGCCGUGGCAAUCGAAGACCCAGAUCACAGUAGCGGAAGGCUUCCCGAGGCGGUCCCGAAGAAGAAGAAGGCUUCGCCUGGCCCAAGACAUUAGGAGGCGGGUACUUCUGGAGGCGUAGCGUCAGGAUUCGCACCCGUUCAGGGGGCGCCACCCUUUGUAGCAUAGGAAGGCGCGCCCGACACCCUCCUCGGGCAGGGCUUGGGGGCUCUUUCUUGGAGGGACACUGACUUUGCCAAGGUCACGAGGGAGGCGCUCGGGCACCACUUGGAGGCAUGCUUCAAAGCACGUUUCCCUCAGGAAGGUAUGAGGCAAGGAGGGCCAAACCCUUAGGAGUUUAUUGCGAGAAACACUCAGGAGUCAAGAGUCAUGCGCGGCAGCCGCCGCCUACCCGCCGCAGCCCCCCAUCCAGGCAAGGAUGGCGUGCUGCGCGUCUGCAUCAACGUGCCAGGGCUCAACCGAGCCGCGUCUCAGGAGCGCCUCUGACCUUCGCGCAUGGGGCGUUGCGAGGGGCCACCUCACAGCUACGUUCGCAUGCCUUUCGGCCUGCCGAACGCGGUCGCCGCUCAUUAGCGCCUACCGAGGAGCAUUUUGGAGGCUCAGGAGGUCAGGCAUCGCACGGUCCUGGCGGAGAUGGAGACGGCCCUCGAAGAUCCACCUGUGCCCCCGGAGCCUCCCGAGGCUCCUGGUCCCAGGAGCUCGUGAGGGUCGGCUUCCUCACCGCGCAUCGUCCGCUGCUUCAGCAUCCCUGCAUCUUUAACGGUAUCAGGUGACAUCUUUCAAAGUUCCAUUUUCAGCUGGGAGCGCCCACAGGGCUGCAUCAUUCCCAGGUCACGUGGGUCCGUCCCUGCAGCAUGUAUCCAUUUUGCUCAUGUUCUCUGCUUACCUUGUUGGGGGCGCCCUUCGGGCUGCAUUAUCCCCAAGUUGCUCGGGCCUGACCCAGUGGCCUUUGCUUCUCCGCAUUUAUCUAAAUAGAUUUGCUCCUCCAUGCUUAACCUGAUUCCCGUGAUCAUCGCGGACCUCUCCACUCUCAUGCAAAGCGCUUGCACGUUAAAAGGGGGUGCCUGAGCAUCGCGACUCAUGGACUCUUACUGGCUCUCCAGCCCUCACCCCCUGGCCUUGACCCACGGCAUCGCGACCUGUGAUACCAGCGGUGGCUGAGCUUGCUCGAGGGCUGGGACCAGAGGACGUAGAGCAUUUGCAAUCUAACCACCUUGCAGGAACAUACCAUUGAUAAAGGCCCAGAGCCAGGCGCAACCCGCCUCGAGGUAGGGCCUCGUGAGUCCCGCGCUGGCUCACGGGUGCCCAGAUACACCUCUCCUAGCCCUACCGUGUCGGCCACAUGUCAGGGCGGGGCUGUACAUGCCCCGGGGGCUCCUCCCGGAGGGGAGCCCCCUCCCACGCACCAGUGGAAGCACCAUGCUCCGCGUUGGCUGACGACACUGCCGAGGAGCGGCUAUGCCCGUACACAUACAAAAGCACUAUGCUCCGCGCUGGUGAUAAACAACUAAGGGCGGCCCACGGCCGUAUCAACCACAGGGAGCCCGGAGCUUAGUGUCCGGCACCGUCACAACGCCUCCCCUCGGGAGUGCCGCGCGAGGGGGCUGGACACGGGGGCUACGCCCGGGCCACGCCCGAGCGCACGCCACCUAGCCAGGUCCCUCAGACCUGGUCGUCGCGCGCCCCUCCCCGAGCGGAGCCAAGGUACGAAAGCUCGUUUGCACGUCAAGGGGGACUCCUGAGCAUCGCAACUCAGGAGCCUAACUGGUCACGUAGCCCCUCACUCCUUAGUCCCGUCUUGGUUUCCGCUCGGGGCUAACGGCGGAUGAGGUAUGCGCGGGGCCGGGCCCUGUCGACGUAGAAUGACAAAUCCACUCCUAUGCCUCCCUUCCCUACUUGCUGUUUGCGCGUCAAGGGGGACUCGUGAGCAUUGUGACUCAGGAGCCUAACUGGUCACGUAGCCCCUCACUCCUUAGUCCCGUCCUGGUUUCCGGUCGGGGCUAACGGCGGCUGAGGUAUGCGUGGGGUCGGGCCCUGCCGAGUAGAACACAAGCAAAUAGGAGGGAAAAUGCAAAUUCUAGAGAAUUCAAAAGCAAAUAUUACAAUCCAUAGAUUGUUUCACAACGCCAAACACAAGUUUAAACGCCUCCACAAGGCAUGGUGCAUGUCGCAUGAAUUAAAAUAGGACAGAAGCUGCGAAGGGAUCACUUUCCAGUGGUGCCGCCGCCUGUGGUGGAGUCACGCUGGGCGACUCCACCUCCUGAGGCCGCGAAGCUGGCGGCAUCGCACCCGGGCAAGAUGCUGAAGGCACGGAACCUCCCCAGCAAAGCCUCGGCUCGGCCUUUCACAUCCUCAGCAGCAGCGGCGGCAAGGUCGCCACUCACAGGUUCCAGCAGGCUGUCAAGGUCGACGUUGGGGUCGCGAAGGUAGACGUGCCUGAGGACACGCGUCAGCGCUGUAGAAGACACGGCACGCACCUCGGCCUCGGCCGUAGGACCAAGGCCGUCUGCGACAUCUUCAAGCGCGCGGACCAGCAAGGGAAGCAGCUCGGUGGGGCCGUCCUCUGCACCAGCCAACGGUUUUUCUAAGCCGCCCUCAUAAAGCGUCUUCAGCGCGGCGCGAGCUUUCUCCUCCAGCUUCGCGAAGGCCACUCGAUCCUCCGCCAGGACCUUCGCCUUGCCAUCUAGCUUGGUCCUCUCCGCCUUCAGCACCUGCUCCAGGGUCUCCAACCGACCACGGUGGUCAUCAAGCUCGGCGUCCCGGUCCCUGACGGCGGCCUCCCGGGCCUUCAUCUCCUUCUCCUUCUCCUGGGGGCCGCAGACCUCCUUGGCGAGCUCGUCACGCAGGCCUUGCAGCUCGACCUCCAGCACCAUGCAGCAGCCCCGGGCAUCCGCAGCGUCGCCCAGGGCAGCAUCGCGAGUGGCCUUGGCCUAACAGGUGGCUUGCUUCUCCCCAUCGGAGGCCGACACGGCCUGGCUCAGCACCGCUCGGACGGAGGCGGCAGAGUGGGCCCAGCCAGAAGCUAGUUCCAGGCGCCCGACCACUAGGCAAGGGUCCGUGCUCCGAAGAUCCUCCCGCAACCGGCUCAGUUCAUUGGCAGCCCGGUCCAGGACGGCGGAAGAGUCAGAAGAUACGGGAGCCGGCGGAACAGGCGGAGAGGACGGCAGCGUGAUCACAGCUUGGGAGGAAGGAACCCCCUGGGCCUUGGCCACCCUGGCGACAGCAUCAAGCGCUGGCACCUCCAGAGUCAGCGGGGCCACGGGGGCUGACUCCUCCCCUGAGCGUCCUUGCUGGCCUCACGAAGGCGAUCGGGCAGGAGAGGCGCGAGCCUCGCUGCCUCCUUUCCCCGCAGAUGAAGGCGCUGCCCCGGCAGAUUAACUCCCCCCAAGCAGGGUCGCCGAGGACCCUUUCAACCUUUUUGUUGCAGGCGCCGGCCUGGCCAAAAGGAUGCAGAUGUCAAGCCUUGGUGACGGAAACAAAGCAAAACACGAAUCGAGCACUUACUGGUCAUCGAUCGAGGACUCAAGCAGCCUCCAGCCAAACUUGAAGCCCGAGAGCCUGCAGUUGGAGUCAGCCUUGUGAGGCACGGAAGCAGAAGGUGCGUCAGGAGGGCCUAAGCUGGCCUCAGACCGCCCCGGGACCAGAGCAGACCCUGGGAGAACCAGCCCCGUCCUGCCCUUCCUCAGGAUCAAGGGAGAGUUGCCGGCCUCGUCGUCGUCCGGCAUGGAGCGAAGCGCACGGGACCUGCGCCGAGGGAAGGACUCCCUCGACUCCUCGCCGGUCGCCUCAGAGUCGGGCUCUUCUUCCUCCUCACUCCCGCUGGAGUCGUCGGAGAACACGUUCACCGUUGCCAGCGCCGCUAGGUCCUCGGGAGCUUCUGCGGGCACCAGCCCCUCACUGUUGAAGGUGGGCAUGGCGUUCACCACCUGCUCCCAGCCGUUGCGAAGGAACAGGGGGACGGGAGCGCCCUCCGGGCUCGCCACAUCCCCCCAACCAAGGAGUGGAGAGCUGCGACCAGAUCUUCGUCGGUCAGGGCCUCAGAGCUUAGGUGAAGGGCGACAUCUGCUUCCCCAAGCCUCCACAAUGGGAGCGAGUGCUCCCGGAGUUGAGCCACCCGGUGCUCCAGGAACUCCCUCAGGAGCGUAGCCCCGGUCAGCUUCGCCGCCCCCAAGUUGCCUGGCCUCAGGUCCGCGUUGAUCCUCUUCGGCACCACCUUCACGCGGGGGUCGACAAGCUCCGCACGGGACCACGCGUCAACAGCCUUGGGCGGCCCCGUAGGCAGCACCAGUCGAGGGUGGAUGCGCCCAACAUCCACCAUGACCCACUUGAUCCGGUAGCCGUCGAUCCUCUUCCCGGGCUUCGAGAUAGCAUUGGAGUUGGAAUAUGCGAUAAAGCUCGCACACGCGGUGAUGUGGGCACCAGAAACUCAGAGGGAGAAGUAAUGACGCAGCAAGGCCACUGAGGGCCUUACCCCAACGUGAGCCUCACAAUAGUAGGCGAAAAUCGCCAGGAGAAGAACAGAGUUGGGGUGGAGGUGCAGAGCUUGAAAGUUGUACUGACGAAGAACAGUGAGGAAGAACUCGGAAAAGGGAGGCACCAAACCGGCGAUGAUGGCGCUCAUAAAGAGCGGGUAGAAGGUGCUCCCCUUGCCUUCAGGCUGGGCGGAGCCGGCCUUGAGCACAGUUGCCCCCAUGUUGCCCUGCACCACCUUCAUCAGGCGCGUGAGGGCGAGAUUCUUCUCCGACACGUUCGGGGGAUCCAGAGCCGACGAGUACCAGGCCUCGGCCGGGAUCUUGCGAGGCGCCAUGGCUUGCUGGAUGGAAGGGAUUGAGACAGAUCUGGAGGAUUUCGGGGGCAAGAAGGAGAAGGGCGAGAGAGGGGAUCUGGAGCAAGGCGAACGAGAAAGAAGAAAGUAAGUCUGGCCCGGGCACCUCUUUUUGUCAGAUGGACGGUUGCCGAGGCGUCGUGAGGAAGCAGAGACGCCCACGUCCAAUCAAUUGCCACGCGGUGCCCAAGGCCGCAGGCUAUUGGGGCCCGCGGCGCUUCACACUUUCCCUUCGCUUCUCUGCUAAGCCAAGUACGGGCGCGCCUUGGGCCCGGUGGCUACUGUUGGUGUUCUGGGAACGGGGGUCCCCAGACUUGCCUGCCUGCGACCUGUGGUGUGGCUCAAGCGAAGGCCCAGUGCAGCCCAGCUUCAUCAGCUCAAGCUGAAGACCCUCGCGAGGGGCCAAGCCUAGUGGGGUGGACGACAGGAAGCUUCCUCAGGAGCAGCCUCAUCAGACAGGCUCGCGAUGAGGUGGAGAGAUCAAGGCAGGGUACCUUGCGAGGUGACACAAGCCAUGACGAUCGAGCCCAGGCGGGCGCCACGCGGGCGCCGGCCUGUGCAGUGUCCUUGUUUUCCCUUUGGUGCAAAUGGAGCAAGCACAGGCCAAGGCAUCAGGCAAAGGUUACCGCUUCGGUGCAAAAAGACCAAGACCAGCAGAGCGGCAGGAUGGAAGUCAUCGUGGAGCCUAGGAUGGCGUCACCGCCAGAGUCUUUGGCUGUCGAGGACCAACUUUAGUCAGGAUAAGUGUACUAGAUGUUCCCCUUCAAAAUGGCCAAUUGUUGGCGCCCUUCCCGCUCAUUAUUUAGGACGAGGCCCAGGGCCUCCCUCUAUAAAUAGGACUAGCCACCACAGUAAAAAGGAGAUCGGAUCCAGAUUGCGCAUAGACUAGAGAGAGGCGACUGAACUCACCCAAGUAGUUCAUCGCACCAGCUCAAGAACAGCCCCUCGCGAGGCUGUUCUCCCUUUGUAUUGUUCAUCAUCAGCCCCUGAGGCAAUCCACCAAACCACACGCUGGAGUAGGGUAUUACACAACAAUGGUGGCCUGAACCAGUAUAAAUCUCGUGUCUCUUGUGUGUUCUUCUUGCUAGCCUAGAUUCCUUGCGAGCCAUCAAGACGCGAGUUGGUAAGGGAAAGAUCUUCGUGCGCACCCCAGAGUUCGAACCUCAAGGGUCUGCUAGAACUCGAACUCCGACAAUGUCUGGUAAACCGGAGGAAGUGACUUGCUGGCCACUAUGUCGGGUUGUGCGACGAGCUUCAGGAUGCUGUGGAUCCAAAUGAGUGAAAGGAUGUGAACAUUUCACUUUCGGACUGCGUGACGGAUUUUUCUUACUGGCACAAGAUCGGAAUUGGAGGAAAGGGAGAUUACCUCCACAUGGUCCGCAUGGCAAGCUUCUGCAUCAUCCUAGUAAUGGUCGUUGUCAAUAAGGUGAAUGAAAAAUGAACCAAGGGAGUCAAGUUCUACCUCUUGUUCCGAAUCAUCAACAUCUUCGGGUGGAUCAGAAGACUCAACAAUUUUCUUCUUGGAUGGCCUCUUUGUGGCCUUGCUCUUGCCACGAGGAGCCCUCGCCGGUUUGUCUUGAGCUUUGGCCAGUUUGUUUUGAGUUUUCCUCUUCCAGAAAGGAUCUUUUGCCUGUAAGAAUAAACAAAAGAUUGUCAGAAAAAUGUUAAAGCGAAGACGGAUUGAAAAGCAGAAGGGUAAAAUUUUACCGCUGGCGGUUUGUUGGAGGCAUAAAAAGGACGCAGCCUAGUCUUGCUGCACUCAGCAAUCGGUUCAUCCAGCAUCUUUUUAACAGAUUCAGUGACUUCAUCAUCGUUCAUCUGUAUUUUAGUGUGGCGUUGAGGAUCCUUGACAUCCUCGGUAUACUCAUGCAUCAACCUGGUGCGGCGGCUUAAGGGCAGGAUACCCCAUGAAACCCAGCAAUGGACGAGGUCAAUGCCGGUUAAGCCGUUUGCUAGAAGAGCCCGGAGCUUAGCAAGUUGAGGUGCAUAUGUUUGUCGUUCCUUGGCAGUGAGCCGCUGAGGCAGUGGAUGUCCAUUGCUAAGCCGGUAAGCACGGUAACUCGACAGAGGAUUUUCAUCAGCAGGAGUGGUAUUCUGACAAUAGAACCAUGCUUGGUUCCAAUCCUUGGGGUGGCUGUGAUGUUUGGCAUGACGAAAAUCGACUUCUUUCCUUUUCCGAAUCGACACUCCGCCAAGUUCAAUAUUGGGGCCGUCAGAAAAUUCAGUGCGGUGGUUCAAGUGGAAGAAGUCCCUGAAGAGUUCAACAGUCGGUUCUUCUUGAAGAUAAACUUCACAGAACACUUGGAAAUUGCAGAUGUUAGAAACAGAGUUCGGUCCAAUGUCUUGAGGAUGGAGUUGGAAGUUGGCAAGUACAUCCCGGAAUUUUUUUGAUCCGGGAGGGCUAAACCCUCGGUCCAAAUGCUGCAUAAAUACAACAACUUUUCCAUCUUGGGGUUCAGGAGGGUUUUCAGCACCAGGGACUCUCCAAUGAAUGAUUUCCUUCUUUGCCAAAGCGCCGGUUAGGACAUAACCAGUGAGUUGUUCUUCUAUGAUCCGGGAGGGAACCCAAUUGCAAGAAGUGAAUUGUUUGGCCAUUUUGAUGACAAACUGUAAAGGAAGUGCAAAUGUCGGUUCACGGUUCAAGAUUGAUAUGCAUAGACUGGUAUCAAACCAGAGAAUUUAAUCAAAAGCGUGUGUGUACAUUAAACCGGAGAUGGAUGUUCAGGGACAAAUGGCGGUUUACAAGAGGGCUAACGGUACCUACCGGAUUGUCGUUUUCUACAGGUUAAACCGCCUAUAGUGGCACGAAGGGCAAUAGAUCUGAAAAUUACUAAGUGCUACACAAAUAGGUUUCACAGACUAAGGAUUAUUACUUUGGAUAUAACAUAGUUCAGGAAAAAGAAAAAAUGUUAAGGCCCUAAAAUAGCAACAGCGGAACAGAAAGGAGCCAGAUGAGAUUUGUUCGUGGUCCUAAAGGUAUUAUGCGGAGGCAAAAUAAACUAAAAGCUUCGGCCGCAGAAGGAAAAGGUCAAGUUGAUCUUGAUUCAAUAAGAUAGUAAGGGCAGAAUAAUGAGCAUGGACGAACACUGAUGAACACAGACGAACACCAAAACCCUAAUGCAGAUCUAGGAUUGAGGGAAAGGGGUUUACCAGAUUCACAGGAGUAGCGGAAGAGAACCGCAGAUCUCUGGUGCGUUCAGGUUGAUGCAGCGGCCAGGGAUGAGGCAGAGCUUGAAGGUCGAUGGCGGCGGCGGAGCUGUCGAGCUUGAGCGUAGAGAGGAAGAAGAAGAAGUGCGGAAGGAGAAAAGGGAAGGACCCCUAGGCCUAUUUAUAAGGCAAAUGGAUGAAGGAGGCAAGCGCGAGAAUCGAGGAGCCCGAAAUGAUAAAAUGGGGCACAACUGUCGCCUCGAUCUUCGGAGUCAGUUAAUGAAAGGGAAUCUUUAUGAGUUUUUUAUGCAGAUGACGUGAUGGCAGUUUAUGGUGAUUUCCAAAGAUGAUGUCAUGUAGGUUUAAAGUUAAUAUGAAGAUGUUUCAGAUCAGAAUUUUUCUAAGUUGAAGAUUGACAUGAACAGGUUCAAAUCAAUCUAGGGCCUAAUGUUGAGGAUAUAACUACUGAGUGUAAACCGCCCAGGAGGAGCCGGUUCACGCUCAUCUAUAUUGAAGCUCAUGAAGACAAAGAAGAUGACGCUCUACUAUUAAAGCUUAGAGGCCCAGAGCCCAAAGGAGGAUUAGGGCCCAUAGUUGUAAACUGCCAUAAUCAUAUAACUUGUAUUGUAAGAUAGGGAGAGGAAGAGACCGAGCCGGACACUUGUAUGAGCCAGCCUCGGGACUCUGUAAACCGGCCGGGCGUCAAGCUGUGUAUAUAAAGGGAUGACCCGGCGGCAGUUCAGGAACAAAAAACAACAACUCGAGACUCAGGCAAAGCGUAUUCGCUCCCUGCUCAUCGAGAUCAAUCAAUCCCACAACAACUAGACAUAGGCUUUUACCUUCGUCGUAAGGGGUUGAACUAGUAUAAAACUCUCGUGUCCCUUGUCUGGUUUAACCCCUUUAAGCUAAUCUUGUUGCGAUGGCUCCACGACUAAGUCCUUCUGCUAGGACAUCUGAUGUGUUAAUUCCAUGACACUGGUAUUUCGGCUUCAUCCUCGCGAGGAGCCCUCGAUCAGGUCCACGGGCACCAGCACCCCUCAUGUCCGUGCCCCCUGGGCAGCGCGACACGGUGCAUCGGGUCCGAGCUAAUCUAUGGAAGGGGACUCACGUAAGGGGGAGUGAGCCGCUCGACAAGUUUUCUCUUCCUUCAAAGGACAGCUCUGUCACGGCUCCUAAGAGCACAAGGCGUAUCUUCCGGGGGCUGCAUCAAAGACUCCCCGGGGAAGGGGGCCCCGUCAAGUACCUGAGGUCAGGUCCUCGUGAGGCAAAAAACGACUACACAUACCAAGCUAAGCUCUCCUACCUUAACUCACUCAGAUCGCAAACAUUACAACGCAGUAUCAAGAUGGCAAUUAUAACAUAAAAGGUAUAACAGCAAUAGUUCAUUACACGCCCCCGCAGGGUACAUCUUUCUUUUUUCGGAUUGCAGGAGAAAGGAAAAGCUAAACAAAGAGGGCCUGAAGACGUAUGAGCUCGGCACCAGUGCCGCAUCCUCAAGCAGCGCCUCAAGGUGACCUGGCGUGCCACCAGUUCUCCCAUAGGUGACCCGGGGCCGCCGGCCUUGAGUCCAAGUUCGUCGGCCCCCAGCUUCACGCCGGGCUCCUCUCUAGCUUCACUAGAGCACCGCGGCAGGACGAACCCCCGACAUCCUCGACCCAAGCACGACGACGCAGGGGCUGGUCGUAUCCGCCACUGCUUGAGCUCUCAUCCGAGGAAGAGCUGCCGUCUCGGGAGGGGGAGCGCGCAUCGCCAAGAACAAGCUCAUCAUCGCCACCGUCGUUGUUGCUGCCAUCCUCCGGGCAGCACCCCACGCGGCGGGCGUCCUCCCUGAACAGCCUCACGUAGAGGGUCGCCAGGCCGUCGUACUUAAAGUGGAGGUUGCACCUUCCGCCCAGGCCACACGCGCGGGCAAAGGUCUGCCAGCCACGAGUCAGGACCACGCUACCGGAGGCGGUGACCUCGGUACCAACAGAUGAAGCCCUGCUGCAGCAGCCCUCAGCCUGCAGCCAGAGACCAUUGGGCCCUGAAGAAGGAAGCUCGCCAGAGAAGAAGGGUGGGAGGCAAAGCAAGGUGCCAGUCGGGCUCUCCGACCACACCACGAACUCAGGGAGCACGUCCAGCAAGGAGAAGCGCGGCCGAGGCGGGCGCACGAUCACGGCAUGCCUUCCUUCAUCAUGGGGGCUGCUCUGAAGCCGGUGGGCCCCGCCGUGGGAAGAGGUGCCAUUGUGGGCGCCUAGAGCAAUGCUUCCUAUGGGGGGCGCGCCCCCGCGCCCCCUAGAAGCUGCCGGAGGGACCGCGGAGUGCUUUCGGGGACAACCACGACCCCUCUUGAGAGGAGGAGAGGCUGGCCCCUCCUUGGAAGCUUUCCCCUUCUCGGCCGCUGAAAACCUCUUCGGGGAUGCCAUGGGAGCAAGACGGAGAGGAGAAAAGCAGGCGGGAGCAAGACCAACGAAAGAUGGGCGGGGGGCUCUGCCCCUCCCUCACAUUUAUAGCCAAGGGAGGCCAACCGCCGGCCUCCAUGACCUCAUGCCAUCAUGACCUUCUGCAUGUCGCAUCGACCAGUCAAGUUGAGCAGUUGUCGAGGCAGCAUGGGGAAGCAAAGUCGCCCACAUCCCAUCAAUCGCCAUGCAUCAUCAAGGCCGCAAGCGGUUAGGGCCCGCGGCGCUCCGCACUUGCCCUUUGGCUUCGCCUGGAAGCCAAGUCCGAGCGCGCCUUGGGCCUGGGGGCUAAUGUUGGCGUCCUGGAUUCGGGGGUAUCCAGCCCUGCCUGCCUGCGGCCCACCACGUGGCUCCAUCGACGGCCUGGUACGGCCCAGCUUCAACAUCAACAACGCAAGACCCUCCUGAGGAGACAAGCCUCGCAAGGUAGGCGACGCCAAGACCCCAGAAGGAACUGGCCUCCUUGGGCUGGCUCCUGAGGGGCGGAGAGUUCUAUGCAGGUUACCCCACGAGGCUCAGCUGACGUGAGCCAUGACGACCAAGGCCGAGCGGGCACCACGCGGGCGCAGGCGGGCGCAGAGUGCAGGUUUCCUCUUUCGUGCAAAGGAGGCAAGCCAUAGGCGCGGAGUCCCGAGGAACCAGCCAAAGGUUUCCAUUCUGCUGCAACAAGACCAAGACCACCAGGAUGGCAGGACGGAGGUCAUCAACGAGCCCACUACGGUGUCAUGACCAGAGGCUUUUCGCAGGUGAGGACUACUUUUGUCAGGAUAGACUGUACUACUUGUCCCCUUUCAAAUCCGGCCAUUGUAGGAUCCCUUCCCGCUCAUAUUUGGGAAGAGGGCCAAGGCCACUAUAAAGAGAACUAGCCACCACCAUAGAAAGGGGACGAAAUCAGAACAAGUAGAACUAGCAUACACCACACUAGCACAAGAACACCUCACCUCCUGAGGCUUGUUCAUCCUCUAUACUAGCUCAGCCUCAGCCCUUCGAGGCGAUCCACCAAAACGCUGGAGUAGGGUAUUACACCACAACGGUGGCCUGAACCAGGAUAAAACUGCCAUGUCUCUUUGUCCCUUUGAGCUUGACACGCUAGGCUUAGGAGGUUCGCGAGUAGGUAGGCUGGGUAGGUUGAGAUCGCCGCACUGACCCCAGAGUUUGACCUCACGGGUUUGCGGAUCCCACAAUCCGACAAGUGCGAUAAUGAUGUCUUUGUUGCUGAAUGUUCUACUGCUUUUGAUGUUGCAAUAUCUUCAACUGUUGAUGUGGUAACUAACCCCUCUACUGAGGAUGCCACUACUAUUGCUGAUGAGAAUGCUAGGUUGAAGACAUUGCUUGAGACUGGCAUGUACAAAAGCCUCAAACGGCAUCAAACCUUGUGUGAUGUCAUCAAGAAAUAGAUUCUGAACCGAAACCCUAGGAAAGAGGGUGUUGGUUUCGAGAGGAAAAUGAACGUUGAUGGCUCAUAUUGGACGCCUGAGCAGUACCCCAAAACCACCUGGGUUGCUGCUAAGGAUCCUUCAGUUGACCCAUCCAUGUUAUCUGGCUUCACUUGUGCUAACCCAAUUGUCAUUGAUGAAUCCUUUGAUGCAAACUAUAAACUAUUUAAGAAUCAGAAUGGUGAAGUGUUUGCCAGGUACAUUGGUACUAACUGUAGGAACGGUUCACCCCAGAAGAAGAUAUGGGUGCCCAAAAUUUGUCUUGAGAAGCUUCCCGUGAAUGUCAUCAGGAUACCACCGGGGAAGAAGACAAACCCCCUACCAAAGGCAUCAUAUGGUCCAAAGGCUUCAUUCAGACAGAGGACCACUCAUGGUCACCAUAACACCAAUGUUUUGCAGGAGAAUUGCUAUGAGACUCGUGAAUAUGAGCGUGUUUCCUCUAACCGCUAUGUUCACAAAACUAAGAACUUUUAUGCAUAUUCUUAUGAGUACUAUUCUCCUCCUGCGAAGCUAUUUGCUAGGGCUCCCAAGCCAAAGUUCUCAGAUGCUACACUUAGACUCAUUGCUUCUAAGCCACCCUGAAGAUGUGGGUUGUUAAGAAGAGUUAACUUUUCUUGCAGGGAAAGGUCUCCAGUCAGAAAGCAAAAUCUUCUGACGACAAUGUUGGAGACCUAAAACAUCUUGUGGGACGCAAGAUAAAAUGCUCCAAUGGUCUUAUCAUGUAUUUCGUCCUAGGGUUCCUUGACGUGCAUCCUAUCAUGCCUAACCAGAAUUUAAACUUUGAUAAUAUGCUUGUUCGCUACAUGUCUCUGCUUCACAAUACUCUUGGUGAAGCAUAUCCCGCUAACUGCACUGUAGGGUACAACUCCAAAAGCCACUGAAUGGAUCAUGGACAUCAGCUGCACCAACCACAUGACUGGUGAUUCAAGUCUUCUUAUGGAUUCAACCCUACGUCCAUCUACUAAGAGCCACAUCACAUUCAUUGACACUGGUAAAAGCAAGGUAUUAGGUCUUGGUAGAGUUGCUAUCUCAAAAGAUCAGCACAUGGAUAAAGUGAUGCUUGUUGAAUCCCUUGGUUACAACUUAAUGUCUGUGUCAAUGAUCUUUGAUCUCAACAUGAUUGUGAUAUUUGGAAAAUAUCAUUGUCUUGUGCUAAUGGAAUCUAACAAAUCUCUAGUCUUUGAAGGCUAUCGAAGAGGUGAUCUGUAUAUGGUAGAUUUCUCAGCAGGACCCCAGCUUGCCGUAUGUCUUCUAGCAAAGGCUUCAGAAUGCUCGCUAUGGCAUCUACGGCUAGGACAUGCGGGCAUGAGAAACCUGUACACUCUCGCAAAGAAGAAGCACAUAAUUGGCAUCAAGGGUGUCAAGUUCAAGAAGGAUCAUCUAUGUGGUGCCUGUGAAGCUAGAAAGAUGACAAGAGCCAAGCAUCCCUCAAAGACAAUCAUGACUACCUCACGCCCCUUCGAGCUGCUUCACAUGGAUCUAUUUGGCCCUACUCACUACUCUACUCUUACUACUACUGCACAUCUCCAUGGCUUCGUUGUUGUUGAUGAUUACUCUAGAUACACCUGGGUGCACAUAAUUCUCUAUAAGACUGAAGUGUAGGAUGUCUUCAGACGCUUCGCAAACCGGGCCAUGAUGAAAUAUGGCAUCAAGAUCAAGCACAUCCGGAGUGACAAUGGCACUGAGUUCAACAACGCCGGCCUCGACAUUUAUCUUGAUACCUUGGGCAUCACACAUGAGUUAUCUUCUCCUUACACACCUCAGUAGAAUGGCAUCGUAGAGCGCAAGAACAGAACACUCAUUGAGAUGGAACGAAUGAUGCUCGAUGAGUACAAGACUCCAAGAAAAUUCUGGCCUGAAGCUAGUGAUACUGCAUGCCACAUCAUCAACAGAGUAUAUCUUCACAAGUUCUUCUAGAAGACAUCUUAUGAACUUAUGACUGGUAAAAAGCCAAAUGUCAGUUACUUUAAAGUCUUUGGUGCUAGGUGCUGGAUCAAAGAUCCACAUCACACGUCUAAAUUCGCACCGAAAGCACAUGAAGGUUUUAUGCUUGGUUACGGAAAGGACUCGCACACCUACAGAGUCUUCAACCUCUUUAACUAUAAAGUGGUUGAAACUGUAGAUGUGCGGUUCGUUGAGACUAACAGCUCGCAAAGAGAGCACCUGCCAAAUGUGCUAGAUGAAGCUACACCGGGUGAAGCUGUCAAGUUGAUGGGUACUGGAGAAAUCAUACCCACAGAGGAACAAGCUGAGGAUGAGAUUAUCAUUUCUGCACCUAAUCAACCUGAAGACAAUGCUCAGUCCGAAGCCAAUGCUAAAGACGAAGACAACAAUUAGUCAGAUCAAAAUCUUCGUCCAGCUCAUCCUCGGGUUGCAAAUGAAGUCCAGGUUGAGGAGAUCAUUGAUAGCAUCAACUCUCCUGGCCCUCUCACUCAUCAAGAGCUACACAACUAGCAAACUUCUAUGGUCACUUUGCCUUUGUCUCUAUAUCUGAACCCAAGAAAGUCAAAGAAGCCUUCAUGGAACCUGAAUGGAUUCAAUCUAUGCAAGAAGAGCUUCAAUAGUUUGAACUGAAUAAUGUCUGGGAGCUUGUCAAACAUCCUGAUCCUCGCAAGCACAGUGUCAUUGGCACGAAAUGGAUCUAUCACAACAAGCUAGAUGAACUUGGACAACUUGUCAGAAACAAAGCUCGCCUUGUUUCUCAAGGUUACACUCAAGUGGAAGGUAUAGACUUCGAUGAAACCUUUGCUUCUAUGGCACGGCUUGAAGCCAUUCGCAUACUGCUGGCUUAUUCCAACCAUCACAACAUUCUUCUGUACCAAAUGGAUGUGAAGAGUGCCUUUCUCAAUGGCAAAAUCGAAGAAGAAGUGUAUGUCGCUCAACCACCUGGUUUUGAAGAUCCUAAGCAUCCCGAUAAGGUGUACAAACUCAAUAAGGCACUGUAAGGCCUCAAACAAGCACCUCACGCUUGGUAUGGCACACUCAAGGAAUUCCUGAAGAGCAAAGGCUUCAAACCUGGUUCACUAGAUCCCACUCUCUUCACGAAGACAUAUGAUGGUAAAUCAUUUGUGUGUUAAAUAUACGUGGAUGACAUUAUCUUCUGAUGCACUGAUAAGAGAUACAGUGACGUUCGGAUACAUAAUGCAAGAGCAAUAUCAGAUGUCCAUGAUGGGGGAGCUGAAAUUCUUCCUUGGUCUUCAAAUCCAUCAACAUUGCAAUGGCAUCUUCAUAUCGCAAGAAAAAAUACCUCAAAGAUUGCCUGAAAAAGUUUGGAAUGCAAGACUGCAAAGGGUACACGACGCCAAUGACAACCAAAAGUCAUCUCGGCCCUCACAACAAUGGUAAAGAGUUCGAUCAAAAGGUAUACCGCUCCAUGAUUGGUUCUUUGCUCUAUUUAUGUGCAUCUAGGUUUGAUAUUAUGCUUAGCGUUUGCAUGUGUGCCCGAUUCCAAGCGGCACCAAAGGAGUCGCAUCACCUUGCGGUGAAGCGAAUACUUAGAUAUUUGGCUCACACCCCAACACUAGGAUUAUGGUAUCCAAAGGGCUCAACAUUUGAUCUGGUUGGAUAUUCUGAUGUUGAUUAUGCUGGUGACAAGGUUGAUCACAAGUCCACUUCAGGAACAUGUCACUUUCUUGGAAGAUCUCUUGUCUAUUGGUCUUCAAAGAAGCAGAACUGUGUAUCACUCUCCACUGAUGAAUCUGAAUACAUUGUUGCUGGAUCGUGAUGUGCUCAGCUUCUCUGGAUGAAGCAAACUCUCAAGGACUCUGGCAUCAACACGAAGAAUGUGCCACUCUUCUGUGACAAUGAAAGCACCAUCAAGCUCUCCAAGAAUCUAGUCCAGCACUCGAAGACAAAGCACAUUGAGAUUCGUCAUCACUUUCUCAGAGAUCAUGUCAACAAGGAAGACAUUGAUAUCAUUCACGUCAACACUGAAGAGCAAUUGGCUGAUAUCUUCACUAAGCCCUUGGACGAGAAGAGGUUUUGCAAGCUGCGGUGUGAGCUAAAUAUCUUAGAAUCCUCAAAUGUCUAGUGAAUGGACACACAUCCUAAUGCUUAUGCGUGUUGAUGACUUAGAUGUGCAACACAUGAAGUAACGUAUUUCUUCAAUCAAUGAAGACUUACCCUCUAAGUGUGAAUACAUUAAUGUGGAAUUUGACUUCGGAGCGCCACGAUAAUUGUGCGUCGUGUCUAGGUCUAAUACUUCCUAUACGGUGGGUAAUGCCACAGCCACAACUUCUCGAAGAUUUUCAUUUGGCGUCAUGAGUGCAUUAUCUUCACUUUUGGAUUGUCUUCAAUAUUGGUUUAUCUUCAAAAUCUAUAUCUUAGCAAUGUUGAUUUGUCUUCAAUGAUAAUUAUAUAUAUCUUCAUACGUGUUCUGUCCUCUACAGCAUUCACUUAUAGCUAUGUCUUCAUGUUGCUUUUUUCUGACCAAAUGAAUGUGAUCGGACUCUAAUCCCUUCUGUGCUACUUCCUCAAAUUCUUUCUGUCUAAGUCAUGUGCAUUCUGUUGACACUUGUCAAAUAUCUUCUCGAUGUCCAUGUCAGCAGAAGAUACAGAGACACACUUUUAAAACUGCUUUUAGUGUCUUAUCCUUUGCCUGAAAAAUGGAGAAGCCGGAACGACCACCCAACAAUCCAGACGUGCGUGGGAACAUAGAUCAACUCCUGAUAAGUUGCAUGCACGCCAUGUGUCCUACAGAUGUGAACCUCCAGGGGCACCUGCGUAAUUGCACUACGCCGCCCUCCUCCUUCCUAUAAAUGCACACCCCUCGCGGUCAAUAUCUUUUCUUCCACCUCGACACCUCGCUCAAACCCUAGCGCCACCGCGAGCUCGCGUUGACGCCGGAGACGAAGCGCUUAGCUGCCGCGACUUCUUCGACGCCAUCCUCACGCCGGCCGCGGACCUCUUCUCUCUGCUGCUGCCGUAGGUGUCUUCCGCCGCCAAGUUAGGGCACGGGAGAUUGGACUGCUCGGACUCCCUUCUACAUCGUCUAGCAGUUCAUCUAUGGUAAUUAAAACUCACUUUUUAUAGUCUUUUCGAUCUGUCAAAUCCAUCCACUUCAACCAAAAGUGGUUUGUACACUUCCAAAUCUGGAUCUGUCUCUUUCUAAAUCUCAUAUAUUGCAAAGUAUAUUCACUUAUGCGUCAAAACUAGUUAGAUUCCUCACUUGUACCUAUUCGUGGAUUCUUACAAAUCUGGAACCAACUUCCUUCAAUAAGUGAAUGUCUUUGCACUGCGAGGUACAUGUCUGUGGGAGAAUCCCUUGGUUCUCAUGGUCUGCAUUCAUUUGCAGAAUUCUUGCAGUGUCACAUCGAAUCUCCUGAAGCCAGUUCUUUUCUAACCAGCAGACGGAAGCCUUUCACUGUAUUGAAGCCAAUCAGUCUGAACAUUAUGGAUUCAGAGAAGUCUGCACGAAAAGGAGGCAGGCAACACCGUGGCAACACUGUGGUUGAUUUGCCUGAAGAUCUUUAUGAACUCUACAAGUCUGACCAUGAAGAGAGCUACAACCAGUGCAAAAACCCGAUCCAGUGGAUCCGAAGAUAUUGUGCAGGGCAAUGGUUCAAGUACAGGUUUGUAACACCUGAAUAUGCUGAGAAAAAUGCCAUCAAGCACCCUUGGGGUGAUUGUCUGUACCGCAACUUGGUACCGAAGACUAAGGCUGAAGCUAUUGAACAGGAGUUCUAUCCCUGUAUGGUCAGAGGACCACAGCCUGAGAAUGCCGACCCAUCAUCUCUUCUAUGGUGUCGUGAAGACAAUCUCUUCAAGCGCAACUUUCAGUUUGCAAGAGAUUCAGCUGUUAAGAACUAGAAGGAGUUUGGCCUCAACUUCAACCCUUCCCCUCUGCUCCCAGGUCAGAUGGAACUCGUGAAGCCAAUGAAAAUAGGAUUGGCCCCUUCGCCAACUUCAAUGUGCUUCUGUCUCAUAUUGCUGCCUAGAGAGCUGUUGUGGAGCAAUCUGCUGAAGAAGCAGAUUCUGAUAAUGCUCCAUCACCACCAAAGCAGCAGAAGAAGAAGAAGGCAAAAGCUUCAAAGCCAUCUGCCCCUGCUGCUCCAAAAGCUUCAACCAAGAAGUCACUAAAAUCUGCAGCUCCUGAAUCCAAUGUGUAGUCUGAAGAUUUGUCUCGUGUGUCCAAGAGGACCAACAAGCCAUUGCCCAAGAAGGCUACUGGGCAACCCCUCACUCCUACUGCCGUUCUCCGCAACGAGGAAGACACCAUUGAUCUGUCAAGCGAUGAAGAUCUUUGUGAUGAAGCUCUAGAGAUGUUGAUCAAGAGCAAGCAAGAGGCGGAGAUCUUCAGUGAUCUGCCCCUCUUUGGUGUUGACAUCUUGAAUAACUUCAUUGAUGAGUGGUUCGACGACCAAAACAUCAGCAUUGACAGUCUGCAGCUGCCAGUGGGCAUCAGCGUCACAUUCCAUGGAGCCAUUGAAGAUGAGCUUGCCCUGGCACUGAGCAUCAUCAAGCUCAAAAAUAAGAUUGAUUAUGAGAAGGCUCAUUUCAAGAAGAACAUGCACAAGCUCGGUGUGACAGAUGUGCAAAUCUUAAAGAAGAUGUUGCAUGAUGUCUACUACACAACCUUCUUCUUGUAGACGUUGUUGGGCCUCCAAGUGCAGAGGUUUGUAGGACAGUAGCAAAUUUCCCUCAAGUGGAUGACCUAAGGUUUAUCAAUCCGUGGGAGGCAUAGGAUGAAGAUGGUCCCUCACAAACAACCCCGCAACCAAAUAACAAAGAGUCUCUUGUGUCCCCAACACACCCAAUACAAUGGUGAAUUGUAUAGGUGUACUAGUUCGGCGAAGAGAUGGUGAUCCAAGUGCAAUGCGGAUAGUAGAUAUAGGUUUUUGUAAUCUGAAAUUAUAAAAACAGCAAGGUAACUAAUGAUAAAAGUGAGCAAAAACGGUAUUCCAAUGCUUCGAAACAAGGCCUAGGGUUCAUACUUUCACUAGUGCAAGUUCUCUCAACAAUAAUAACAUAAUUGGAUCAUAUUGUAAGUGCAUCUAGUGCCACCCCUAGUUGGUUUUGGAGUAUUGACGACAAAGUUGGUUGAGGGACUAAUGCGUUUGUAAGAAUUGCAGGAUAACGCAGGUAGUGUCCCUCAUUGAUUCGUUUUACCUACCGGAGAUGACCCCUAAAAAUGUAUGAAGACAUUGAAGACAAUGGUGGUAUGAGAAGAUAUUCACAUUGAAGACUAUGACAUGAGAAGACAUUGCGUGAAGACUUUGGAGCGCGAAGACUGUGUGGUUUCGUUGUUUCCUUUUCUUCUUUGUUGAGUCAUAGGAACCACCAUACUGUUAAGUGGGGUCCAAGUGAACUAAGUCAGAGUGACUGAAGUGAUGCUCAACCCAAAUCCUAUGUCUUCGAGCGAAGACAAUGAGAGCAAAUCUUAUCCAGAGCUGGAUGAGUCAGCUUUGCUUGUAGCCCAAGUAAAGUUGCCGCGUGUGUUUGAAAUCUGACCGUUGGAACACGUGUCAGUUCCUUAGUGACCUAGGGUCAUUUUGGACAAAUCAGGUCGGGUUGCCUAGUGGCUAUAAAUAGCCCACCCCCUACACCAUAAAUUGGUGGCUGCUCAGAGUUUGUGCACGGCUUUUGUCGUUUGAGAGCAACCCACCUCGAAGCAUUUGAGAGAGAGAGAAAUCCUUGCAAGGACAAAGCCCAAACACCCAGAGCCAGAGAGUGUUAGGCAUCACUGAAGUCUUUCUGUCUGUGUGACCUGAAGACUUAUUACACUUGAGGACUGUGAAUCCUCCAGCCGUUUAGGCGUCACGUUCUGAGCAUCCAAGAGUCAUUGUGGAUUGCCGGUGAACGAAGUCUGUGAAGGAAGUCUCCCUUGAAAACUUACCAGAGUGAUUGGGCGAGGACUGGGUGUCCUUAGCUCAAGGGGAAUAAGGUGAAGACACGGUCUUCUGAGUUAAAUCUCAGCCUCCCUAACCAGACGUACAGUUGUCACAGCAACUGGAACUGGUCCAACAAAUCAUGUGUCUUCAACAAGCAACUGGUUCUAUCCCUUCCAACCUUACUUCAGUUUGUCUUCAUGAAGUCAUUGCUUAUCUGCUUAUCUGUUUGACUUCAUUGCUUGACUACUAUUGUUUAUUGGCUUCAGACUGUCUUCCAUCCUGAUCCUUACUACCUUACUGCUAUUAGUCAUGUACUUUCACAUCAUUAUAUACUUGACUAUGGCUUGUUCAGGGUAGUUUAUCUUCCGCUGCAUAUCAAUUAGGUUGUUUCUGUUGUUUGUCUUCGAAACCUACAAGUUUUGAAGACUUUCAUAAAAAUCGCCUAUUCACCCCCCUCUAGUCGAUACUAGCACUUUCAAUUGGUAUCAGAGCGAGGUACUCCCUUGUUCUGUGUGAUUCGGUUUAACCAGCUGGAGUUUCAGCUAUGUCGACUGCAGGGAUAAUCAAGGUCUCCGCUGCUUGCCCCGUGUUCGAUGGAACUGAAUAUCCCUACUGGAAGAAUAAGAUGCGCAUGCAUCUUGAAGCCAUUGAUGUCGACCUCUGGUAUGUCGUCAAGAAUGGCGUUCCCAAGACUGGUGAAGGUGUCACCCCCACUAAUGUCAAGAAGUUUGUUCAACUGGACUCUACUGCGAAGAACAUCAUCUGUGGUCAUCUGACCAAAGGACAGUAUGGUCGUGUGAGUGCUCUGGAAACGUCGAAGCUAGUCUGGGACUGGCUAUCCAAGGUCAAUGAAGGUGUUUCAACCCAGAGAGAUCAAAGAAUCAGUGUUCCCCACAACCUCUUCAACCGCUUCAAGAUAAACGACAAUGAGAAUGUCCAGCUCACGUUUGAUCGCCUCACUGAUAUCACAAAUGAACUUCAAGCUCUUGGCGCAACUGAAAUUACCAAGCAUGAAAUCGUCUAGACACUGCUAAGAUCACUUGACAGCUCCUUUGACACCCUUGCCCUCAUGAUACAAGAACGUCCUGACUUUAAGACACUCGAUCCGUCUGAUAUACUUGAGAGGCUCAACACACAUGAGUUCCAGCUAUCUGAGAAAAGAGAUAUCUAUGGUCCAAGCUAUGGCCAAACUCGUGCUUUGAAGGCGAAAGUUGUUUCCUCAUCUGAAGAAGAAUCUAACUGCAGUUCUGAAGAUCCUGAAGACAUUGGAAGGGAACUUGCUAUGCUUGUGAAGAAGUUCUAGAAAUUCACGAAGAAGAAAGGCUUCAGAAAGUCUUCACGAUCUAGCUCAAGGAAUGAUGAAGCUUCCACACAUGAUCACAAGAAGAGAACCUGCCACAAGUGCAAGAAACCUGGUCACUACAUAUCUGAGUGUCCACAGUGGGACAAUGAGAAGAAGAAGAAGAAAAGCAAGGAAUAUGAUUCUGAUGACAAGAAGAAGAAGAAAUCCUCAAAGUCUUCUAAGUUUUCUUCCAAGUCUUCAUCAUAUAAGAAGAGCUUAUCUGGCAAGGCUCGUGCUUUUGUUGGCAAGGAAAUGGAUUCAGAGGAGGAGUCUGCUUCUGAGGAGGCGGAGGUGGAGUCUGGAGAGGAGUCUGGAGAGGAGUCUGACCCUGGUGUUGCAAGUCUGGCCCUAGCCACAGCCUAUGUUGCCAAGUCCAUCUUCAACACUGAAGACAAUGACUUCCACACCAACGCUGAAGCUAAUGACGAAGACGAUCCUACUCCCACCUACUGCUUCAUGGCACGUGGUGCCACAGUAAAAUCACGCGAUGCUUACUUUCAAACUUCAAGUGAAGAUGACUCUGAUUGUGAAUCCAAACCCAGCUAGAAAACACUUGCUAAAAUUGCAACUGAACAACAAAAGGCUAUGGAACAUACUCAAAAACUGUUAGACAAAAGCGAUGACCUAUUGGACGCUGAAAUGACACAUUCACAGUCCUUAGUUGAUGACAUAAAAAGUCUUCAUGCUAAGUACCAAGAACUUGAAGGUCGUCAUGAAUCACUCUCAACUACUUAUGAAAAGCUCUCCUAUGAUUAUCUUCAAAGGAAACAAGAGCUUGAGAAAUUGAGAGCGGCUCAUGAAGAUCUUCAAAAGGUGAAUGAGUCACUUCGCGCCCAACAGAUCAGUUCCGCUCAGGAAGGAUUUGAACCACCAUGUCUAAAAUGCAUUGAGCGUGAUAAUGCUACAUCUGUUGCUGAAUGUUCCACUGUUGCUACUGUUUCAUUGUCUUCACCUACUGAUGUGGUCACUAACCCCUCUGUGGAGGAUACCACUGCUGUUGCUGAUGAAAAUGCUAUGUUGAAGACAUUGCUUGAAACAGGGAUGUACAAAAGUUUGAAGGGACAUCAGACUCUCUGCGAUGUCCUCAAAAAGCAGAUUCUGAACCGAAACCCUAGGAAAGAGGGUGUUGGGUUCGAGAGGAAAAUGAAUGUUGAUGGCUCGUACUGGAAGCCUGAGCAGUACCCCAAAACCACAUGGGUUGCUGGAAAGGAACCUUUAGUGGAUCCAUCUACCUUAUCUGGCUUUACCUGUGCUAAUCCUAUUAUCAUUGAUGAAUCCUUUGAUGCAAACUAUAAGCUGUUCAAAAAUCAGAAUGGUGAAGUGUUUGACAAGUACAUUGGUACUAACUGCAGGAAUGGACCACCUAUGAAGAAGAUCUGGGUACCUAAGCGGUACAUUGAGAAUCUUCCUGUGAAUGUCGUCAUGACACCACCUAGGAAGAAGAAAAACCCCAGACCUAUACCUUCAUAUGGCCCAAAGGCUUCAUACAGAUACAGGACUCACAUGAGUCACCCUAACGCCAAUGUUUUGCAGAGAAAUCAUACUCAGACUUAUGAAUAUGAGCGUGUAUCUUUGAACCGCUAUGUUCAUAGGACUAAGAACUUUUCUGCUUAUUUAUAUGAGUAUCAUUCAUCUCCUGCAAGGCUAUUUGCUAGGGCUUCAAAGCCAAAAUUCUCAGAUGCUGCACUUAGACUCAUUGCUUCUAAGCCCCCACUGAAAAUGUGGGUGGCAAAGAAGAACUAACUCUCUUUUGCAGAAAAUGGUCUCCAGCCAGCAAUCAAUGGCGUCUGAUACUAUUGCUGGGGACCUAAAACUUACUAAGGACGCACAAUGAAAUGUCAUUCUAUAUACUUCAUCUGAAUUUCUUAUCAGUCAUACUAUGUCCUAACCUUGAUAUAAGCUGUGAAUAUCCCUAUAUGUAUCAAAUACAUAUGCUUCACAACACUUGUGUGAAGCCUAUCCUCCUAACUGCACUGUAGGGUACAUCACCAAAAGCUUCAGAAUGGAUUAUGGACAGUGGAUGGACAAAUCAUAUGACUGGUGAUCGAAGUCUUCUCAUGGACUCAACCUUACGUCCAUCCGACAAGAGUCACAUCACAUUUGCUGACACUGGUAAAAGCAAAGUAUUGGGUCUAGGUAGAGUUGCAAUCUCAAAGGAUCAACACAUGGAUAAAGUGAUGCUUGUUGAAUCCCUUGGUUUCAACUUAAUGUCUGUCUCAAUGCUUUGCGACUUGAACAUGAUUGUGAUAUUUGGCAAAUAUCGUUGCCUUGUACUAAUGGAAUCUGACAAAUCUCUAGUCUUUGAAGGGUAUCGAAAAGAUGAUCUGUACAUGGUAGAUUUCUCAGCAGGUCCACAGCUUGCUGUAUGUCUUCUCACAAAGCUUCAGAAUGCUGGCUCUGGCAUCGAAGGCUGGGACAUGCUGGCAUGAGGAACUUACACUCACUCGUCAAGAAGAAGCAUGUCAUAGGCAUCGAAGAUGUCAAGUUCAAGAAGGAUCAUCUGUGUGGUGCCUGUGAAGCUGGAAAGAUGACAAGGGCAAAGCACCCCUCGAAGACAAUCAUGACAACAUCUCAACCCUUUGAGCUGUUACACAUGGACUUAUUUGGACCUACUCACUGCUCCACCCUCACAACAACUGCCUGUCUCUAUGGCUUCGUCAUUGUUGAUGACUACUCAAGAUACACAUGGGUUCAUAUAAUUCUGUACAAUAUUGAAGUGCAAGAUGUCUUCAGACGCUUUGCAAAUCGAGCAAUGAACAAUUAUGGUGUGAAGAUCAAACAUAUCAGAAGUGACAAUGGCACUGAAUUCAAGAACACUGGACUUGAUCUGUAUCUGGAUACAAUGGGAAUCGCUCAUGAGUUCUCUGCUCCAUACACACCUCAGCAAAACGGCAUUGUGGAGCGCAAAAACAGAAUCCUCAUUGAGAUGGCUCGAACUAUGCUAGAUGAGUACAAGACACCAAGAAAGUUCUGGCCUGAAGCUAUUGAUACAGCAUGUCACAUCAUCAACCGUGUAUACAUCCAUAAGCUUCUGAACAAAACAUCAUAUGAGCUGCUUACUGGCAAGAAGCCAAACGUCAGUUACUUCAGAGUAUUUGGAGCGAGAUGCUGGAUAAAGGAUCCCCAUCACAAAUCAAAAUUUGCACCUAAGGCUCAUGAAGGCUUCAUGCUUGGCUAUGGAAAGGAUUCACACUCAUACAGAGUCUUCAACCUUUAUCUAUACAAAAUCGUUGAAACUGUGGAUGUGAAAUUUGAUGAAACCAAUGGUUCAUAGAGAGAGAUUAUGCCAAGCACACUGGAUGAAGCCCCUUCAAACGAGGCAAUCAAGCUGAUGGGAACUGGUGAAAUCAUGCCCUAUGAAGCACAACCUGAAGAGGAACUUAUCAUCUCUGCACCAAAUCAACCUGAAGACAAUGCUUAGUCCGAAGACAAUCCUCCCAAUGAUGACAGUGACCAGCCACAGCAAAAUCUUCGUCCUGUUCAUCCUCGUGUUGCAAAUGAAGUUCAAAUAGAGAAGAUAACUGACAGCAUCAAUGCACCUGGUCCGCUCACUCGAUCAAAAGCAACACAGCUAGCAAACUUCUGUGGGCACUUUUCAUUUGUGUCAAUAUCAGAACCCAAGAAAGUUGCUGAAGCUUUUAUGGAACCUGAAUGGAUUCAAGCCAUGCAAGAAGAACUUCAACAGUUCAAACUGAAUAAUGUCUGGGAACUUGUCAAGCGACCUGAUCCACGCAAGCAUAACAUUAUUGGAACAAAAUGGAUAUAUCAAAACAAGCAAGAUGAGCAUGGUCAAGUCGUCAGAAACAAAGCACGUCUUGUGGCUCAAGGAUACACUCAAGUUGAAGGAAUUGACUUCGAUGAAACAUUUGCUCCUGUUGCUAGGCUUGAAGAUAUUCGCAUACUACUAGCCUACGCUAAUCAUCACAAUAUCUUGCUAUAUCAAAUGGAUGUAAAGAGUGCAUUUCUCAAUGGCAAGAUUGAAGAAGAAGUGUAUGUCGCACAACCACCUGGCUUUGAAGAUCCAAAACAUCCUAAUAUGGUGUACAAGCUAAACAAGGCACUGUAUGGCCUCAAACAAGCCCCUCGUGCCUGGUAUGAUACAAUCAAAGACUUCCUGAAGAGCAAAGGCUUCAAACCCGGAUCCCUCGAUCCCACUCUCUUCACGAAGACAUAUGAUGGUGAACUAUUUGUGUGCCAAAUAUAUGUGGAUGACAUAAUCUUCGGCUGCACCAACCAGAAGUACAGUGAUGAGUUUGGGUACAUGAUGCAAGAGCAAUAUCAAAUGUCCAUGAUGGGUGAGCUGAAGUUCUUCCUUGGUCUUCAAAUUCGUCAGCAGAGGAAUGGCAUCUUCAUAUCUCAAGAGAAAUACCUCAAAGAUUGCGUGAAGAAGUUUGGAAUGGAAGACUGCAAAGGCUACACGACGCCAAUGCCAGCCAAACACCAUCUUGGUCCCGACGACAAUGGUAAAGAGUUCGAUCAAAAGGUAUAUCGCUCCAUGAUUGGUUCUUUGCUUUAUUUAUGUGCAUCUAGGCCAGAUAUUAUGCUUAGUGUUUGCAUGUGUGCACGAUACCAAGCAGCACCAAAGGAAUCGCAUCACUUAGCUGUGAAGCGAAUUCUUCGAUAUUUGGCUUACACCCCAACACUCGGAUUAUGGUAUCCCAAGGGCUCAAGAUUCGAUUUGGUUGGAUUCUCGGAUGCUGAUUAUGCUGGUGACAAGGUGGAUCGCAAGUCUACAUCUGGCACAUGUCAUUUUCUUGGUCGAUCACUUGUCUAUUGGUCUUCGAAGAAGUAGAACUGUGUAUCACUCUCAACUGCUGAAUCUGAAUACAUUGCUGCUGGAUCCUAUUGUGCUCAGCUUCUAUGGAUGAAGCAAACUCUCAAGGAUUAUGGCAUCAACCUGAAACAAGUACCUCUCUUCUGUGACAACGAGAGUGCCAUCAAAAUAGCCAACAAUCCAGUCCAACACUCGAAGACAAAGCACAUUGAAAUUCGUCAUCACUUUCUCAGAGAUCAUGUUAUGAAGAAAGACAUCGAUAUCAUUCACGUCAGCACUGAAGAGCAAUUGGUAGAUAUCUUCACAAAGCCCUUGGAUGAGAAAAGGUUUUGCAAGUUACGGUGUGAGAUAAAUAUCUUAGAAUCCUCUAAUGUCCUGUGAUCAGGCACACAUCCUAACACUUAUGCAUGUUGAUGACUUAGAUGUGCAACACACAAAGUAAGGUAUAUCUUCAAUCAAUGAAGAUUUACACUCUGAGUCUGAACAUAUUAACAUGGAAUUUGACUUCGGAGCGCCACGAUAAUUGUGCGCCGUGUCUGGGUCUAAUACUUCCUAUACGGUGGGUAACGCCACCACCAACUUUUCUUGUUUGAAGUGUUUCACUCAAGGCGUUAUAUUGCAAUGACUUCGCAUUUGGUUUGUCUUCAGUUUCAAUUUGUCUUCACAACUUUCUGCACUAUGAUGAUUUGAUUGCUUUCUGAUAUAUAGAUACUAGUGUACUGUCCUCUACAGCAUUCACUUAUAGCUAUGUCUUCAAGAUUGGAUCUUUUGAACUAAGUGAAUGUGAUCGGACCCUAACCUCUCUAUGCUUUCUAUCUCAAAAUCUAUCUGUCCAAAUCAUAUGCAUUCUAUUGAAACUGUCGAAUGUCUUCUCUGCGUCCUAGUCAGCAGAAGGCAAAGAGACAAACAUUAAAUCUGUUUUAAUGGCUUAUCUUUACUGUUGAAAUCUGGAGAAGCCGGAACAACUCUCCGACAUGCCUGGCGGGCGUGGGAACGUGGGACAACCCUGAGUGUGUUGCAUGCUUGCCACGUGCCCCUCAGAAGUGAACCGCCAGGGGCACUAGCGUAAUUGCGCUGUGUCUCUCACCUACUUAUAAAUACCUGUCCCCGUGCGGUAAAGAAAUACUUCUUCCACCUCUCCACCUUCGUCAAAACCCUAGCGCCACCGCUAGCUCGCGACGACGCCGGUGACGAAGCACUUAGCUGCCGUGACUUCUCCGACGUCGUCCUCACGCCGGCCGCGGACAUUGUCCUCUCCGCCGUCGCCGUAGGUGUCCUCCGUCGCCAAGUUAGGGCACGGUGGGCUGAACUGCUCGGUCUCCUAUUCUUCUCCAUCUAGCAGUUCUUCGUGCGGUAAUUAUAACUCUGUUUUUACCACCUUUUUGAUCUUCAAAGAUUCAUCCUACUUACUGAAAGUAGUUUCUGUCUAUUCAAAGCUAGAUCUAUUCCGUCUGCAUCUCAUACUGCUUAGUCGAUUCACUGAGAUCUCUUCUAGUUUGAUUCCUCACUUGUACUUAUUCACGGAUUGGUACAAAUCUGGAACCAACUCACCUAUAUAAGUGAAUGUCUUCGCAACAUGAGGUCAAUGUCUUCAACUGAUUUUUUCUUCAAAAUCUUCUGAGAAUGCAUAUGACCUCUUCCCCUUCCCUCGCAUCUCUAAUGCUGUCACAGGUACAUGUCUGUGGGAGAAUCCCUUGGUUCUCAUAGUCUGCAUUCAUUUGCAGAAUAUUUGCAGCAUCAUAUAAAUUCUCCUGAAGCCAGUUCCUGCUUGACCAUCAAGCACAAAUCUCUGAAGCCUUUGAACGUAUUGAAGCCUUUCAGCUUAAAAUUCAUGGCAACAGAAAAAUCAGCAAGGAAGGGUGGCAGACAGCACAGAGAAGGUACAUCUAAGGAUCUGCCUGAUGAUUUAGCAAAACUGUACAAGACAGAUCCGGAGGAGAACUAUCAUCAUAGGAAGACGCGAAUCCAAUGGAUUCGACACUAUUGGGCUGAGGAGUGGUUCAAGUACAAGUUUGUCACAAAGGAAUAUGCAGAGAAGAAUGCCAUCAAGAGACCUUGGGGUGAUAUCCUCUAUCGAGGCCUUCAACCCAAGAGCCGAGCUGAAGCCAUUGAACAAGGCUUCUACCCUUGCAUGGUCCGUGGGCCACAGCCAGCGAACGCAGAUCCCACCUCACUCCUAUGGUGUCGUGACGAUUCGCUCUUCAAGCGCAACUAUCAGUUUACUGUGGCUUCGGCCAAGAAGCACAAGAAGGCCUUGGGUUUGGACUUCAACCCAGGUCCCUCUGCUCCCCGUGCUAAAGGCUCUCGUGAAGCCAAUCCCAAUGUCAUUGGCCCCUACGCCAACCUUGACGGCCUCAUCACCUACAUCAUGGUCCAAGGCGCCAGAGUUGAUCAUUCUGACAAUGGUGCUGAUCCUGAUGAAGCCCCUGCUCCUCCUCCUCCAAAGCCGCACAAGCAAAAGAAGUCUAAGGCUUCAACCUCAGCUGCACCUCCGAAGACUUUGCGUGCGAAGCCACUGGCCACUGCACCUCCUGAAGCCAGUGUGCAAUCUGAAGAUCUGUCCCGUGUCUCCAAGAGAACGGAGAAGAAGAAACAGCUUGUUAGACCAACUGAUCAACGAGCCUUAACUCCUACCACAAUUCUGCAUGACGAACCCAUUGAUCUAUCAAGUGAUGAAGAUCUUGCUGAUGAUGCUCUUGAGCAGCUGAUAAAGAGCAAGGAAGAAGCAGAAAUCUUCAGCAACCUGCCUCUCUUCCAUGUUGCCAUCAUCCACAACUUCAUUGAUGAAUGGUUCGACACCCCCAACAUCAGCUCUGAGGAUUUACAGCUCCCCAUUGGUCUCAGUGUCUCCUUCAAUGGAGCCAUUGCUUCUGAGCUAGCUCUCGCUCAGCGCAUCGUUGAGCUCAAAACAAGAUUGAUUUUGAGAAGGCUCAAUUUAAGAAGCAUGUGGCCAAUCUGAGUGUUCAAGACGUCCGCAACUUCAAGGUCAUGCUCCAUGAGCUCAAAGAAGCUUUUCUGAAGAAACGCCAAGAGGCUCAGGGCUCACGUGAGCGCAUGAAGCUUUUGGCUGACAAGUGUGUGCUUGCCUACAAUGAGGCUGAGAAGCGCAAGUCCCUUGGCCGUCCAGGCAUUGACCCCAGGAUGGCUACAAAGAGGAAGAAGAAGCACCCUGCUGAACAGCCUGAGCCUUCAAGCCAAGAAGCCCCUCGCAUUAUCUUCCCGAGCAGCAUGAUUGGCUCGAAGCCAAAGGUCACCACCACAGCUUCAGAACAGAAGAAGACAAAGGCUGCCGAGGCUGAUGCGAGAAAGAGAAAGAAUACUGAAGCUUCUGAUGCCGCCCCGUCCAAGAAGAAGCGCAAGACCAAGAAGACUAGGGCUGCUUCCACAGAGCCCUUAGUCGUUGAACCCAUUUCCGUGGUUCGCCCUGUGUCUGUUCAUCAAGAACGAAGAUUGGUUGUCCAUGAGCCUGCUACCACAGAGGCUCAUGAGUCUGAAGAUAUUCCAGCAGCUGAACCCAACGCUGCUGUAGACAUUGGUCAAGAUGACAAUGUAAAUGAUGAUGAAGUUCUUCCUCAGAUCGAACAUUAAGUGGUAUCAUCGUCUGUUCGUACGAACAGCGAAAUCAUCAGCAUUGGUCGUCCAUUGACGCCAAUUGCUUAGGAUGCUUCGUGGGCUGAUCACCCACAACACCACCAAGACUCCCCCAGUACUCCCCAACAACAACAACAAGCAACACCCCCAGUGCAAGAAGAGGCUGAAGACUUUCAGGCUUAGCCAAGUCCAUCUCCCAACUUGAAGCCAGCACUUCGCAGGCUUCGCAGAGGACAAAGGCCUGAAGUCCCUCUGUCGAGCGUUCCUGAAGGAGAAGUGCAACGUUCACCAGUUGCACGGCCAGUAUUCUCUGAACCAGCUCCAACAGUGAAUGUCUCCAUGUCUGAAGCACAUACUGCUGAAGACAUUCCGGUUGCAUCAGCCAAAGAAAAAGAAGAAGUUCGUGUACCAACUCCCCCAGCGAUUGAAGAUGAAGCAGUUCCCGAUGUGAACGUGCAUGUGCCCGACCCUCCUGCUCCUCAAGAGGAGGUUGACAAUGUUGAGGCUGCCACCACCAACACCAAUGAAGCCAGUGACGUAGUCAUGGCUGAUGCCAUUGUGGAGCCUGCACCAACCAGUGUGCCUGAAACCAAUGAGGCCCCUGUGCCUGAAGCAAAUUUGGCCACUGAGUCUGAAACCAAUGAGGAUGUUGCCCCUAAAGUCAAUCAGAAUGCUGCACCUGACGCAAAUGAGACUGCUGCACCUGACGCCAAUGAGGAUGCUGCACCCGAAGCCAACACGACAACUGCUCCUGAAGCACCUGUUGUGCAGCCUGACUCCUCUGAUGUUGCCCCUGCUCCUAUUCCGCCACCAAGGCCUCACACUAUUGAGCAAGCAUACGAUCACGGUCAGCUUGUCACUGUCCGAUGGCCCGUUCUGGUGCCUCCGCCUUCUGCCUCAGGACCCCAAUUUGACUAUCAUGUUGAGCAUCGGCCUCAUGUCCAGAAGCCAAAGCCCAAGUUGCCAAGGUUUCCAGGUACUGCCAACUCCCCCGGGUCCUUCAAUGCCAAUGGCUUCAAAAGCCACAAUACCUUCUUUGACAGCGCCAAGAACCCAUACUCCAAGCCAAGAAUUUCAUCAGAUCAGUUCUGGAGCUAUCAGCAGAGAAGCUAUUACUCAUGCGUGCUAUAUGAUCAAGGGCGCAUUUUCCCUCAUAUGCGUCUUGACACUGAAGCUAUUGCUAGACUGCCGUGCUUGGAAGAAGCACUUGAUUGCUUUCGUGAUGCUGGUCUGCUCCACUUUGUGACAGACAAGGAACAUUGGAAUGAAGAGCUAUUGCUUCAAUUCUAUGCCACUCUGCACAUUCGCGGCUACAACAGAGACAUCAAGACUUGGGUUCUCGAGUGGAUGACUGGAAAUGUUCAUCAUGAAGCCAAAGCUAUGGAUAUCAUCGAGCUUACUGGGCUAGCCACUCCUGGAGAACUAUGUGAGCCUCACUGUCAGCUACACCGCAAUGCUGUGGAGAGCAUCUUUCACAAGCCCGAACCCAAUAUGAGCCAGAUGCUGAGCAUGAUGAAGCCUUUGCCGUCUGACGCUGAGUAUCCCACCCAAUUUUUUGUUGAAGACCUUGAGUAUCUGCCUCGCACCAUAUAUCAUAUUAUCAGGCGAACUCUAUGGCCAGUCAAGGGACACUCAUCAUCGGCCAAGCUUGAAGGAGCUAUGAAGACAUUGGUCUUCUAUAUUCUCAAUGGCAUCAGCUUCAACAUUCAGGAAUUCUUCAUAAGGCAACUUGCUGCUUCCGGCUCUGACCUAUUUGGUCUGAAGUUUUAUGCUCCAUGGGUCAUGCGCCUCAUCAAGCGACACUCAUGUGUCAAUUAUCAGCCCUCUGCUCGCAAUCACAUAAUAUUUCUGCCCGAGGUUGAUAUGUCAGUUGAUGCUGUAUACUCUAACCCUGCCAAGACACCACUUUGUCUUCAGAACAUCGAGCACCAAAGCUUCACUCAGCCUAUUGAAGGUGUUCAAGCAGCAACAAGAUUCUAUCCACUUGCUGGUAACACCCGUCUGCCUCACAGAGUGCCAACUGAAGCCACUGAAAGCACCAUUGCGCAAAGGCCUCGGAAGCGUUCUCGUGUUCUCAAUGACCGAGAGCUUCUUAUGGCUCUUCAUCAGAAGCAAGAUAAGCAUCAUUUCUGGCUCAAGCGCCAAAUGCAAAGCCUCUUGGUGGAUGUCAAUCGCAUUCGCAACCUUGCCACUAAGAAUGCCUUUGUUGCUCAUGAAACUUGCCGAAGAUCAUGGAAGAGUUUGACUCUGCUCAGUGCUGAAGCUGAUCUUCAAGAUGAUGGCUUCAAUGAAAGAUUCCAGUUCGACUCCACUCCUCCAAGGACUGCUACCCUGCGUCGAACUCCAUCUCUUGAAGACUCUGAAUAUUCCUCUUCCGCGGCAAUAGUUAAUGCCCGCGCAAGAUCAAGAAUCAAUGGUGGUUGAUCUUUCUGCUCAGCCCAGUUCUGCUACGGAUCUGGUUCAGCCUGUUAUUGUCGUGGAUGAUCUGCCUGACGACCCUGCUCUACCUUUGGUUAAUGAGGAUGCUGUUAACAACUGGGCCAUUGUUCUCUAUCAGCCUCCUGCUUUCAGGGAGGAGAUUGUUCUGCCUGCGGUUCCUUUUGGGCCUCCUCUGCCUCCGGAUAUGAUCUGGAGGAGAUCAUUUGAGAAGCUUUUGCAGGCUCCUGUGGCGUUCUCAGUUCCAAGGCCAGUUCUGCUGCAACCUCUUUCACCGGUUAUUCUGUCUAAGCGGAGUUGGGAUAUGGCUUUCAGUGAGAAUGAUCUGCCAUGUCUUACAUGGAGGGAUCAAGAGCAAGCAAGGCCGGUUGCCAGGGCGCUUUUUUCUAAUAAUUUUGAUGUUCAACCAGUGCAGGUUCCACCCCCUCCUGCUGCGGUGGUUAAAGCUCGCAGGCCACGCAAAACCUUGGCGCCAACUCCAAUAGUUCACACCGCAGUACGGCGCUGCACUAGAAGCUCAAUUCAGUGUGAUGGUUUCAAGCCCACCUUCCAGGAGCUCGCCCUGCAGCCCAAGAGAAAGAAGCCCAAGGCUAAGCCCUUCACGGCCCAGAUGCAUGAUGACCCUGCUUCUGAAGGAAUUCCACCUGCAACUCCUGUCAGUCGACUCCAAGAAGUUGGUCGUCAGCUAGAAAUUGACGCUGCUCUAUUAUCUGAGGAUGCACUUAUGGUGGAUCCAACUGCUGCUGCCUCGCCUAAACAUGAUGAUUAGUUUAAUCAUGCUCUUUUGGGUUUCGCAAGCCCUUAAAUAUGCUUUAUCUUUGUCUGUAGGCAGUAUGCUGCUACUUGUUCUCUGGUGUGUGUUGAUGUUGGGUCAGACUGGUUUCUGUUUCUUUUGGACAUGUGGUAUUGCGUACCAUGUGGGUUAUGGACUUAAUCUUAUAUUGUAAUGAGUAACAUUUGUAGGAACUGGAAUGUUCUUUGCUGGAAUGUCAGAGGUCUCAAUUCUGAAACUAGACAGAGGGCUGUUAGGCAGAAAAUUGAUGAAAGCCAAUGCUCAAUCGCCUGCCUACAAGAAACCAAAUGUGCAUCUUUUGAUUAUAGAUCAAUUAAAUCUUUCUGCCCUAAAAGAUUUGACUCAUUUGUGUGUUCUCCCUCUAUUGGUGCUUCUGGAGGAAUUAUAGUGGUCUGGAAUUCUUCUGUUUUUAGUGGCAUUGUAAUUGAAGUACAUCAGUUUGCUGUAAUUGUUCAGUUCACUUCCAGGCAGAACAAUGAUUCUUGGACUCUUGUUGCAGUCUAUGGCCCUUGUAGGGGUGAAGCCAGGGACCAAUUUGUCAAUUGGUUAUACAACUUGACUAUUCCUCUCAAUGAGCACUGGUUGUUAUUUGGUGACUUUAAUUUCCUUCGGUCAGUGGAUAACAGAAACUUGCCUAGUGGGGACAUAAAUGACAUGUUCAUUUUUAAUGGAUUAUUGGCCACCUGGGCCUUCUUGAGCUUCCAAUCAAGGGCAGAUCUUACACAUGGUCUAAUAUGCAAGAUAUCCCACUUCUUGAGCAGCUAGAUUGGUUCUUUACUUCUGUGGAUUGGAUUUCUGAUUAUCCUAUGACUGAAGUUUUGCCCCUGGCCAGGACUGCCUCAGAUCAUGUGCCUUGUUUAGUCACCAUCAAGACUUCCAUUCCAAAAUCAAACCUCUUUAUGUUUGAAAAUUAUUGGAUUGAGCUUGAUGGCUUCAUGGACUGUGUUGAAUCUUCUUGGAAGCAACCCUCUCAGAAAGCACAUGUUACUGCUAGGAUUGCAGACAAACUUAAAAGCCUAAGAAUGUGCCUUAAAAGGUGGAAAAUGAAUGUUUCCAAACUGAGGUUGCUGAUCAGUAAAUGCAAUCAUGUUAUUUUCCUCUUAGAUGAAUUGGAAGAAUGGAGGCCUCUUUAUAUUCAGGAGAAUAACUUCAGAAAAAUUGUAAAAAAUCAUUUGGAAAAGCUCCUGCACCUGCAAUUUCUUUACUGGAAAAAGAGAUGCACCAUCAGAUACUUCAAGGUGGGAGGUGAGAACACCAAGUUCUUCCAUGCUAUGGCCACUGAGAGGCAUAGGAGGAACUCCAUAGCUAGUCUGAAGCUACCUGAUGGAUCUGUUGUCUCUGAUCACUCUCAAAUGGCUGGAAUUGUUUGGAGCUGUUUUAAGAAUAGAAUGGGCACUUCUAGAGGGAUUAAUAUGGGGUUUGAUCUGUCCUCACUUAUUUCACCAGUGGAUGGCCUUGAUGUGCUCACUAAGCCUUUUAUAAAAGAGGAGAUGGACAGUGUUGUCAAACAUAUGCCUGUUGAUAAGGCACCUGGACCUGAUGGUUUCAAUGGUUUGUUUUUUAAAAAAUGUUGGCAUCUUAUCUCUCAGGAUUUUUAUGAGCUAGCUCAGGCUUUUUAUGAUGGCACUGCUGUUUUAGAAAACAUUAACAGCUCCUAUAUCACUCUUGUGCCCAAGAAGUUAGCACCUGAAGAAAUAGGAGACUACAGGCCUAUCUCUCUUACUGGUAUGGGGAUUAAAUUUAUGUCAAAAAUGGCUGCAAAUAGAUUUCAAGAUGUGAUUAUGCAGUGCAUUCAUAAGAAUCAAUAUGGUUUCAUUGAGUCCAGAACAAUCCAGGAUUGCCUUGGGUGGACAUUUGAAUAUUUGCACCAAUGUCAUCAGUCUAAGAGGCCCAUUGUCAUUCUCAAAUUGGACUUUGAGAAGGCUUUUGACUCUGUUGAGCAUGAGGCUAUCUUCCAAAUCCUAAGGUUUAAGGGCUUGAAUGAUAAGUGGAUUCUUUGGAUGAAGCAGUUCCUGGCCUCUUGCACAUCAUCUGUUUUGCUUAAUGGGGUUCCUGGGAGGAAAUUUGUUUGCAAAAAAGGGGUUAGGAAGGAUGACCCUGUAUCCCCUCUGCUUUUUGUUAUUGCUGCAGAUCUGCUCCAAACAGUGAUCAAUGACAUGUUCAGAAGAGGAAUUCUUCACCUACCUAUACCUUGCCAUGAUGCAGAUUAUCCUGUGAUUCAAUAUGCUGAUGAUACAUUGAUCAUACUACCUGCUGACAGAGCCCAACUCCUGGCUUUGAAGGAUAUGUUAAAGGUUUUCUCUCAGUCGAUUGGUCUGGAUGUCAAUUACCAUAAGUCUUUUAUUAUCCCAAUCAAUGUUGAGUCUGCUGUCAUGGAAGAUUUGGCAACUGCUUUUGGUUGCAAAAUUGGAAAAAUGCCAUUUACAUACCUUGGAUUGCUUGUGGGGACCACAAGGCCCAAAAUGGUGGAUUUCAUGCCUUUGGUGGACUGUAUGGAAAGAAGAAUGACUGCCAGUUCUUCUUUCCUUAACCAAGGUGAAAGCUUGCAGUUCCUUAACUCUGCUCUUUCUUCAAUGCCAAUAUUCUUCCUGUGUAGCCUUGCUCUGCCAGCAGGUAUUCUCAAGCAGCUUGAAAGAAUUCAAAGACAGUGUCUGUGGAGAAAGCAUAGGGAUCAGCCAACACCUUCUCUUGCUGCUUGGAACCUAAUUUGCAGGCCAAAAAACAAAGGAGGACUAGGCAUUCUUAAUCUGGGAGUUCAGAAUGUGGCUCUCCUUCUCAAGCAUGUUAAUAACUUUCUGAAUAAACGAGAUAUCCCUUGGGUGUCCUUAGUCUGGAAUUCAUAUUAUUUCAAAAGAAUGCCCCAGGUAACAACUGAAUGUGGAUCCUUCUGGUGGAGAGAUAUCUGUAAAGUCAUGCCGCACUUCAGAGACUUCUCCUGGGUUCAAAUUAAUGAAGGGGACACUUCCCUUUUUUGGGCUGAUAAUUGGAACCUUGAUAACACAGCGUCUAGUCUGCAAACAAGAUUCCCAAGGCUCUACUCUUUUGCCAAGGAUCCCUGGAUCUCAGUUAAGGAAUCUUUCAAUACCCAGGAUAUGCAUCAACUCUUUCACCUACCCUUAUCUGCUCAGGCAUUUGAUGAGUUGAACCAGAUUUAGGAAUUGGUGAAUUCCCACAGCAGAGAAUCAAGUUUGACAGAUGUUUGGUUCUGCCAAGGAUCUACCAAGUUUUUCAAACCCAAGAUGUUCUACUCACACACUUUUGUGUCUGAAUCCUUCAAUCCUUUGCUAUGUGGGGUCUGGAAAUCCUCUUGUACCCUCAAGAUCAAGGUUUUUGCAUGGAUGCUUAUUAUGGACAGGUUGAACACCAAGGACAUGGUUGAGAGAAGGCACUGGCACAUGGAUGAUGGGGUCCAUUGUAGGCUUUGUCCCUUGCAGGUUAGAGAAACCAGAGAUCACAUGUUCUUCAACUGCAAUUUCAGUGUCAGGGUCUGGAAUUAUCUGCAGAUUGACUGGUCUACUGGAACCUCCAUGAUGCAGCAGGUUGCUCAGGCCAGAAGGAGUUUUGAUAAGCCCUUUUUCUCUGAAGUGGUUUUCAUUGCUUGCUGGAAUAUUUGGAUCAUCAGAAAUGCCAAAGUUUUCAGAAAUGAGAGAGCUAGUUUCAAUAAAUGGAGGUUUGCUUUUAAGCAUGAUAUUAGCCUGAUGCAGCACAGAAUCAAAUCUGUCUACAAGGAUGAUCUGCUUAGAUGGAUCUCUUUUCUCCCACCUUAAGCUAGUUUUUGUAAGCCCCACUUUUUCUUCUGUUACCUUGUACCCUGGUUACUCCUUGUAAUCACCCUGUUGUAUUACUUAUCCUCUUUUUCAAUAAAGUUUUGAUAUGCUGUGGGGGUUUUGCCCCACAGUUCCAGUAAAAAAAACAGUUAAUGCCAGAGUGAUCGAUGAUGAAGAUGACGCUACUUCACCACCUCCGACUACAACUGUGCGCAUCGACACUGCACCAAGUUCGUCUGCACCGCCAACCAACGACAACGACCCAACUGCUUCUCCUACUCAUGACGAGUAGAUGCUCUAUGUCUUCAAACCUUUUUGGUCAUUACUGACAAAAGGGGGAGAAGCGUAUGAGUUAAUAGUCUUCAAGCGGGUUCAUAUGGGCGGUUGCAUUAUAUUUUGCUGCAUGCUUACAACUCUUGCAUUUUGAAACAUUUGGUUCUUUGAGUUGUAACACCAUAAACUUGAUGGUCGUCUUCUACUUCUGCUACUUGUUUGCUUUACUAUGAUGCGAUGAUAAAUUCCGCAUGUGUGACGAUAACUUCCACACUUAGAUCAUUCUGCAGACGUCCAUUUUUCAUUAUGCAUGUCAUAUUACUUGCUAUAUCAUUUCAUGCAUGACGAAUUAGCUUCAUAAGUUGAAGUGGAUCUCCACAAGUACAACCUGCCAUGUGCAUUUGCAAUCCAAAAGCAAAUUACUUAUAUGCACAUCUUCAGGGGGAGCCCUUGCAACUUAUGAAGACAAUUCCCUAUCCUUACAAUUUCACAUACUUUAUCCCCGUUGAAAACUUCAACCAGUUUGUCAUCAAUCACCAAAAAGGGGGAGAUUGUAAGUGCAUCUAGUGCCACCCCUAGUUAGUUUUGGAGUAUUGACGACAAAGUUGGUUGAGGGACUAAUGCGUUUGUAAGAAUUGCAGGAUAACGCAGGUAGUGUCCCCCAUUGAUUCGGUUUACCUACCGGAGAUGACCCCUAAAAAUGUAUGAAGACAAUGAAGACAAUGGUGGUAUGAGAAGAUAUUCACAUUGAAGACUAUGACAUGAGAAGACAUUGCGUGAAGACCUUGGAGCGUGAAGACUGUGUGGUUUCGUUGUUUCCUUUUCUUCUUUGUUGAGUCAUAGUGAUGCGGAGCAUCCUUCCACCAUCCCCAUGGACUCUACAUCGACACAUCUAACCCCACAAGGACCUAUGACUCGAGCACGUGCAAGAGCUCUCGAAACCGAGGUGACAUCACUCCUAUCACAACUCUCCUUUGAUUCACAUGAGACAUGGUUGCUACCUCAAACGGAAACUCUAUGCAUACUCAAGUACCAAGGAGUCAACCAUGAAGAGGCUAGGAAUCAAGGAGAACCGGAAGCGGAAGACAUGCAUGAAGACGGAGAGGAGAAAGCAACAAGGACCAGAGAGUUCGGACGAUCCGUACGGAGGCCCGAACGAUCCGAACAGAGCCCGGAUGAUCCGGACCCCGGUCCGUACGAUCCGGCUAAUUCCACCGAAGGCAACAGAAGCUCCCUCCCGAAGCCGGAUCAUCCGGACCCCGUCCCGGAUCAUCCGGACCCUACCCGGACGUUCGGACCGUCAGUCGGACAUCCGGCCCUGCGCCGCCACCAGCCGGGCACCCGGACCAUCCGGGCCUCCACCCGGAUCAUCCGGACCAGCCCGGAUCAUCCGGACCCCCGUCCGGAUCAUCCAGCCAGCGCCUGUGUGCGCGUGUUGGGCUGAGCCCAUGUACCCCUUCGCCCCAAACUCUAUAUAUAGGACCCCAUCUCCUCACUUUGAGACUUAGCAUUGGAUUAGCUCAUAUUUGUGUGAGAGCCUUUGCUCAUCCACUCGGUUACUUCUCCUUGGAGAUCAGGACCUCCGUCUAGGAGAAGAUCCCUCAGCGGAUUCAAGACCCCUAUCUAGGGAAGAACAUCAAGGCCUCCUCUUGGAGAUGAACGGUUCCUUUGUAUCCUUACCCUAGUUGACUAUGUAUCUUGUGGAUCUCAUGUGUGUAUGUUGAUCUAGCACUUGUGUGAUCGAUUCCUUGUUGGUUGAGUGAUUCUCUCUCGUUUUCCCCGUGUUUCCCCUCGUGCUUCCGCGUGUUCUUCGUGUUUCCUCCGUAGGAUCCCCUCCAAACGUGAAAGAUCAACGAAUUAGGGUUCCACCCUACAUCAUAUGGUAUCAUGAGCCACGUUGAUCACGUUUUUGGAGCCCCUACCCCGUGAUUUCUAGCUUGAUUUUGUUGUUUUCGUCCUAAAAAUCUGAAAAUCCCCACAAAAAUACCCCCAAUUUUUUUUGUGAUUUGUUGGUUUUGAUGAUGUUUUGUUGUUUUUGAUCCGUGGAUUCGGUGUGUAACUCGUGGAUCUUGCUUUUCCCCACCUUCUCCCCCUCGAAAUCCACCCAAAAUCCCCGAAAUCGUCAAAUUUCUCCCCGUUUUCGUGUUCUUCCCGAGCAGUUCCCGUGCGUGGUUGACCUGCCCGGAUCAUCCGGACCAAGUCCCGGAUCAUCCGGACUCGCCCGGAUCAUCCGGCUCCUGGCCCGGAUCAUCCUGCUUCCUCUGCCGAAACUGCACUUGUGCAGUCCCCCAUCCACCACCACCACCAUCCAC
This 65297-nucleotide long non-coding RNA is filed under the name Triticum aestivum (bread wheat). RNAcentral's name for it is "long non-coding RNA (TAES_LNC022252)". The record is from RNAcentral. Lineage: Eukaryota; Viridiplantae; Streptophyta; Magnoliopsida; Poales; Poaceae.